RNAcentral lists this long non-coding RNA (51893 nucleotides) under Daucus carota (carrot). RNAcentral's name for it is "long non-coding RNA (DCAR_LNC000855)". The record is from RNAcentral. Lineage: Eukaryota; Viridiplantae; Streptophyta; Magnoliopsida; Apiales; Apiaceae.
UUUUUUUUUUUUUUGCUAAUUAGUGAGUGGAUCAAUUUUAUAUUACGUUAAUUGUUAAAAUACAAUAUGAGAAUGAAAUAGUAUCCAUGAGAAUAAGCCAGUGUGUGACUUAGUAUUGGUAUGAUUCCUAAUGAUAUUAACUGACUGUCUGCUUGUCCUACUCAUACAAUUGUAUUUAAUCAUUUUCCUGUUUUAUUCGACUCUGGCUUUCGAAUUAGGAGUCUGUUCUUGAGGCAGACGAAUAAUUCUGUUAUUGUAUUUAAUCUUAUUCAAUAUGGUGACUAGGACCAUGCCGGGAAUCUUAACGAGGCUAUUAAUGCUCAUUUUGCUGAGGGGGAUGGAAAUAUGUAAGAACUCUGCCCAUCUGUAAUUUUUUUUUUGUAUUUUAAUUCUUUUUGUCAAAUGAUCUUGGUAUAUUAGCUUCAUUUUUUUGUUCGUUACUGAGUAUUAUUUCUAAUCAGCACAAAUGAAGCAUCUGUUGUACCUCAAGAGGAUUUAAUGGACGUAGAUGAUCCAGUCCAACCGGAGAUACAGCGAAAUCCCUUUCCUCUGUUACAAUCUCCUGGACUUAUGAAUCCAUUCUCUCUCUUGGACCGUGAUGUCCGUAGCAGCAUAUUUGAUAGAGUUCCCAGUUUAGUAAGCAGUAUAUUUGACAGAGUUCCCAGUUCAGCAAGUCGAGCACCAUUUGUUUCACAUCCAAGAGAAGUAAGGGAAAUACCAAUCGAGGUUAAGGAUGGUAAUGAACAAUCAAGUCAUUCUGGUCACGCUCCAACCAUUCAAGAUGUUACUGGUACUGCAGAUGAUUAUGGCCCAGAGAUACAUGGGAAUGUUAUAAUUGAUGAAGAAGAUGCCGAAGAUAUUCCUAGAACUCAACGGAUUGCACCAGGUGAUGCAGGAAAUGACAGUAUCAUGGGUGGUUAUCCUGACAUUAUAAAUUCUGGACCAAGUGCUCCUGGAAUAGAUCAUAUACCUGAAUACAGUAACGACAUAGAAGAAGAAAUGAUCCGAGCUGCAAUUGAGGCUUCCAAGCAAGACACUAGAAGUGGUUACACACGUCGAAGUGAGUCCAUGUCUCAGCAAAGCCAGUCUGAGAUUAAUGACCCAGAACUAGCGCAAGCUGUUUCUUUGUCACUGAAGGUUUGUUCUUGCAACAACUUUUGACUUGAUCUACUAUGACCUGCUGUCCUUCUGACUAUGAAUUCUAAUCAGACAGCGGAUCAAGAGAAAGCAUCACGUGGAAUAGGAGAUAAAUUUCGAUCAUCUGAGUUGGGUAUUUCUACAUCAACUGAGGUGGAAGCUCUAGGAAAAUUAACAUCAAGUGGGAGGUAUUUCUUAUCUCAAAACACACACACAUACUGUAACUGUUAAUUUUUAGCACCCGUUGCUUAUGUUAUAAUUCUGCAACCAUACUUAAGAGGCUUAAGUUUUCUACAUGUAUUGUUGGGAAAGAUUUUGGCGAUCUGACGAGCUCAUUGUUGACAUUCUAGGUUAGAGGCAGAAGGGUCUUCUAUGCGGGAUGAGAGUGACGAGGCUGAAGAUCAGCCACUAGUAAGACACCAGAUUAAUCCCAGUUCUACCUCAGCUGACACCGGGAAAGAGAUCGAUUAUACGAAACCAUCGAAUUCUCAACACAAUAAUACUAGUUCACAGCAAAACAGAAGUGACUCACAUAUGAAUGAGGUAUUUCCUAUCUUUUUCUGUCAAAUUAGAUCUGUGCAAAAAAAAGAAUAUCCUAUUGUCACUAUUAUCUACAGUAUAUGAUUCAAGUCAACGGUUCCUCACAUAUUUGACUGUUUGCUUCAUUAAAAUAUACGUCCAAGUGGGGAGGCAUUACAUCUUUGGAACAUGACGAAGCUGUUAUGCUUGAGGCUGCACUUUUUGGUGGUGUCCCCCAAGGAAACACAUAUCAUGUACCGUAUGCACCAGGUCAGUCCAGGAACAACGGAGUAGGUGAAACUGAUGGUUCUUAUCCUCGGCGCACACCUCAUCCACCAUCACCUUCUCUCACUGCACAAAGAUUGAUACGUGAACAACAGGUAUCUACUAUGUAAUCGAAUGAGGAAUUAAGGACCAUGUUCAGAUUGAUAACAAUUUGUCACUAUUCUUAUAUAUUGUACGUUUAGGAUGAUGAAUAUUUUGCAUCACUGCAAGCUGACCGAGAAAAAGAAUUAAAAGCUAGGGAGGAAGCUGAAAUUCGAAAGUUAGAGGAGCAGGUAGCUGCAGAAUCUGCUCUGAUAGAAGAAAGAAAAAAGGAAGAAGAAUUACAAAGAAAAUUGGAGGAACUUCAGGUAAUGGAGAUCAUAUGUUUUAUGUAUUGUAUAACUCUUGUUUCCCUUGCUAUCUGUUCAAGGCGCUUAACAUAUGACAGUCUUCAUCCUCACCCACUUGCUACUUUAUUAACAUUAUUGCAGAUUCCAACACUUCCUGCUAUAGAGAUGUUGGAUCCACAAUGAAAUAUGUAAAUUAAUAAAACCAUCUGUAGCAGUACUAUAUGCUACGGACUUGCAAAUUUUGCCAAGAAUCAAAUCAAACGCGAUAAUUUGGCCACCGGGUCAUUGUUAAGGUUGAUAGUGUGUCGUGUUUGCGAGGAGGAAGACUGAUUGGUUUGUUGAACACGUUCUUUUACUUUUGGACAGUAGCUGCGAGUGUCUCCGGAAGGUGAACAGCUCCCUACCUCUGUAUUUCUCUUUGUUUCCUCCUCUAAUUGAUUGCACUCCACCCAUGAACCCUCGUCUGUAAUUUCUCAAGCUCCUCAUCAUUGCUUUGAGGAAUAUCUUAGCCCUUACCAAUAACAUAUCUCCUACCUGAUUGCACAGUUUUCCCUAGUUUCACACUGCAUUACCUAGGUCUUCCAGUUUGUAGUGGCUGCACCCAAGGUCUCCAGUCUCACCAUUCCCCAAUGACACUACAAACCUGCCUGAAUCCUCUACAACUACUCAACAUCCGAACACCAGAAAAGGAAAUAAAAUUAUGGGUUGCUCUAGGACCAAUCAUGACGAUAAUCUCCCUAAUCAUCGAUAUUUCUUCUGAGUUUCAUAGUUUUCAGGUUAGAAAACCUAUGACCGAGUUGAGAGAUACUUUAAUGGACGGCUUCUCCAUUGGUGACAUGGGUGGCUCUGUAGUCCCUCCAUCCCUUUCCUUGUCAUUGUCUUCAUCGAUCAAAAUAUCACUGGGUUCCUUGCUUCUGCAACAGUGAACUAGUGACCACUUAUCAUGGCAACAAAAGCAGAUACCCCAUAUGAACAAGUUGAGACCAUAACACCUUUCUUACUAUAACCCCAUGAUAUUCCAGUUUAAUACUGCCUAGUGACUGCCUUCCUGACGUUUUUACCUUGUUCUUUUAUUCCACCAGUGUCGCCAACUCUAUGGCUUGCUCUAAAUUGAUGGGGGUUUAGGAGUCAUACCUCUUCUCCCACCUUCAAACAUUCAAACCAUUAAUGAACUGUCCCUGCCCUCAGAAAUUCUCUCUAACGGGGCUGCAGUUUCAAUAAAUCACCUCUUGUACUCAGCUGUCAUACUUUUCUGAAUGGCAGCUAACCACUUUUCAUACAGUGAACCACUGUCCGAUGGUCGAAAUUGAUAAAGCAUGACGGUUUUAAAUCAGCCCAUAACCUAAUGGGGUGGCAUUUCUGUUCCCCAUUGGUACCAAUGAAGGGCGUCCCCUUCCAAAGCUAUUUCAACAGUUUCCCACAUCUCGUUGGAACUAUAUUCGUCGACUUCAUCUCGUUGUGGAACUUCAGUUCUUCAUUGCAAUCAAGCUCAUCAUCUGCUCCUGUUAGCAUGAUUUAUAUUCCCUUCUAACUAAUUCCAUAGCAUCCAUGUCCUCCCCUUCGACAUUAGCCUGGAGACUUCUACCAUAUCCCCAUUUAUCCCAAUGCUCGUAUCCUUGUCCUUCCUACCAUCCUCAUUCACUCCAUCCCCAUUUAUCCCGAUGCUCGUAUCCUUUUCCUUCCUACCGGCCUCAUUCACUCCAUCCUCAUUUAUCCCAGUGCUCGUAUCCUUGUCCUUCCUACAAUCCCAAUCAUUCCAUCCUCUUUGAUCUCGAUACUCAUAUCCGCCUUGCCCUUGCUAGCAGCAGCAUUAUCCAUGGGUUUGUCAAACACAGCAUCAUAAUCUUUGAGAGACUUAUAUUUCCUCUUCGACGACUUAAUUUUCUCCUUCAACUGCGUAAGAGACGCUUUUGCCUGGAGAGAAUCCUUAACAAACUCAAAAAAAAACCGUUCUGAUUACGAGGUAGUUUUUGACAAUCAGGGUAAUGCUGCUGGCAAGGACAAGGAUAUGAGUAUCGAGAUCAAUGAGGAUGGAGUGAUUGAGGACUGUAGGAAGGACAAGGAUACGAGCAUUGGGAUAAAUGAGGAGGAGUGAAUGAGGCCGGUAGGAAGAAAAAGGAUACGAGCAUCGGGAUAAAUGAGGAUGGAGUGAAUGAGGACGGUAGGAAGGACAAGGAUAUGAGCAUCGGGAUAAAUGGGGAUAUGGUAGAAGCCUCCAGGCUAAUGUCGAAGGGGAGGACAUGGAUGCUAUGGAAAUUUAGUUAGAAGGGAAUAUAAAUCAUGCUAACAGGAGCAGAUGAUGAACUUGAUUGCAAUGAAGAACUGAAGUUCCACAACGAGAUGAAGUCGACGAAUAUAGUUCCAACGAGAUGUGGGAAACUGUUGAAAUAGCUUUGGAAGGGGACGCCCUUCAUUGGUACCAAUGGGGAACAGAAAUGCCACCCCAUUAGGUUAUGGGCNCCUUAGGAACUUGAGAGACAUUUGGCAUCUAAAGAAGCUUCUCUCCCGCAAGAACCAUCACCAGAUGAUGAUAAUGCCGUUAACCUGCUUGUGCGGAUGCCAGAUGGCGGCCGGCAAGGCCGCAGAUUCCUCAAGUCCCACAAGCUUCAGGUAUUUAUUCCGUGACAAUAUUUUUCCAGUUAUUGGUUAAAAGUUGUAUAAUUGGUUGUGACUUGAUUUGCAGCAUCUUUUUGACUUCAUCGAUGUUGGUCGGUUGGUCAGACCUGGUACUUACAGACUGGUAAUCUUUCAUGUGCUUUUUUACCUUUCACACUUAAUUUUUGUGGGGGCACACUUAUAUUUUUACAAAGUUUUAAAUGAUGAAUAAAUUCCAAAUAAUUUUAUGGGGGACAGUGCCCCUUACUAGAUCCCCUCCUGGUGUCCAAACUUUUUUUACAUUUCAUAAUUGAUUGUCUGGACCGGCAAAGAGCAAUGAAUAUUCAUUUUAGUCACAUAGGAGUGUCGGGGUUUGUAUUGUUGUUAUGCUUGAUAGCAUAUAGAGAGCUUAUUGACUAGUUGACUCAACAUCGUUUCUUUUUCCUUUCCCCCAUCUUCUCUGGUGAUUAAUGUUUGCGUGAUCCCACUAGUCCUUCCGAAAAAAAAAAAAGAAGUUAUAUUGUAUUUUUAAAAUGAAUUGCAUUUCAAACUAUUUGUUUGAUAAGUAGGGUACUCGUGUAAUUUAAUUGUAAUAUCGAUACCUUUUUUUGUAACACCAAAGAAAAAUUAGAAUCUUUAUAGUGUCAGGACUCUUGAUACUUGGUAGAUGCUUGAGAAGAAGGCUGUAUUUGAAGAUAUGGAGAAUGUGGUAACCAUAUGACUAAGGUCAACUAACUUUUGCUUGCUAAAGUGGAAUUCUGUCAAAAAUUUAUCUGUAUCUAUCUCUUUUUUGUAGUCAUCAGUAGAUUUACUCUUCCAUAUGUAUCAGGGUUAAGUUGUUGAAACGUAUCAGUCCUUGAUAGGUGUUGGCACAAUUUAGAUGAGCAAAAUAUUUAAGGAACGGAUGUAUUUCAACUUGGCAUGCAAAACGAGUUAUACAAAUGGUAGAUUAGCUAGUUGGUAAUUUAAUGAGAAUCCUUUCCAUUGGACUUGAUUUAUUGAUAGAGAAGCAAAGCACAAUGUUACUUCCUGAUACAUAAUGUAUUUAUGCCUUGUAUAGAUAUAUUAUGAUUGUUAGAAUUAAACAUGUUUUAUUUUGCACAGGUAAGGCCAUUUCCAAGACGGGCUUUUGGUGUUGGUGAGAGCGCAUCAACUUUUGAUGAACUUGGCCUGUCCGGCAGACAGGAGGCCUUGUUUCUGGAGUUAAUAUAGCAGAUAUAGUUAUCGUAAAAUUGUAAUAGGAUCUUGAAGAGUUUACCCAGAUGGACCAACCUUGUUUGUUAGUUGGAUGUAAAAGUUGUUUGGAGACGGGUAUUUUGUCGAAGUUUGUAUCUAUCGGGUAUUUGGUCUUGUAGUCAGACUAUGGCUCAUACAGUUUGAAGUUGAUAUCAAAUCUUAGAUGAGAAUGUUUGCAGUUUUAAAUUACUGUUUCUUGAAUCCGAUAUCGAAUUUUAAACGAAAAUAUGUGCAGUUCUAACUUGAAAGUUAUGCAAAUUACAUUAAUAAUAUCAUCUAUUUUGAGUCUCUUGGUCUUCGGUCUUCUAUUGCAGCAUAUCAUAUACUUCUCAAAUGAUUGAAAAUGAACUCUCUCCAAAAGACAAGGGGGUCUAUCGAAGUAGACCAGCAAUUGAUUUUACUUGAAGAAACAAGAAUACUCCAGUUCACUUCUUAAAGUUUUGGUCGUCUUUUAUCUCUCAAAGUCUUGAUCUUUGUCGUUUACAUCUCAAACAAUUUGCCAUCGUAUUGAACACUUCACACAAUUCCAUGCUAUCGUAUCAAACACUUCACACAAUUCCAUUAAAUUGAAGAUUUUUGAUGAGAUGUUUUAACUGUGAGUCUUUCAAAUUAUUGCUUGUAAGGCCCGCGAUAUUUUAGAGAGUCACCAAAGCUUUGGCAUGCAUCGGAAUCAACGACAGCACUAUUUUAGGGGUUUGAUGCUCUUAAUAUUAUUCAUUUGGCUCAUAAAUUUCAAGUGGAGAGUGGAGAAGAAAGAGCAUCGUGAUUGUCACUGUACCCUUACUUAAAAUUUGUUCGAUUAGGUUUUUUUACAUAGUUUGCGCUUGGUCAUCUGGGUAGGCCUUCAUUAUAUUAAUCCACUCGCAUGUCUUCAUCCACUCUUGUAAUUUUAUAUUAAACAAAUUUAAAUUUCUCACAUAAAUUUGUAAAAAUAGUAAAUUUUUUCUUAUUUAUGAUAUUAAUAAAUCUCUUACUCUCUUAUUACUGUAUUCAACUAAUUAUUUUUUCCUAACAGUUAUAAAUGUAUCACAUCAGUUAUGAAAUUUAAAAUAAAUAUGUCCAAUUUCUUCGAGAAAGAUGGUUGCAUAAUUUUUAAUUUAAAAUUUUAAUUAUUUUUAUUUUCAAUAUAAUUUACAACUAAAUUUUUUUAUUAUAUUUUCACUGCUUCAUAUUUGUAAUAAAAUUAAAUAUAUCAUAAAUACACUUUUUUAUAUAUAUAUGCUAACCUCUAGAGAUGUUAAAGAUCAUCCCAAACAAAAUUUGAAAGCGAAAAUGAAAAUGAAAAAUUCCGUACUCAGUUUUUUCACCAUCAGUGUGAUGCUCAUCUUCUUGCAGUUGCAGCACCACCUGGUGGCUUCUUCAUUGAGCCCCAGCUUGCAGAAACUUGCGUUGUUCGACUUUAAACAAACCUUUUCAAUCAGUAAUGAUCCUAGUAGCUGGAUAUGCUCCUAUUAUUCCGUCGAAGACGAAGAGUUUUACGAAAUUCCUUCUCGGCCAAAGACAAAGAAUUGGAGCAUGAGUUCUGAUCACUGCACAUGGGAUGGAGUUAGCUGCGACGACAAGACAGGGGGCGUUAUCGGACUGGACUUGAGUUGCAGUCAGCUGGAAGGAGCCAUUCUUCCUAAAAGCACUCUCUUCCAACUCUCUCAUCUCCGCUUCCUCAAUCUCUCUCAAAAUGACUUUUCCCUCUCCAGUCAGUUCCCUCCGGAAUUUGGUUUCUUUGCAAAAGGUUUGACGCAUCUCAACCUCUCUUAUACUGGAUUAUCAGGGAGAGUUCCCUCUCGAAUCUCUCAUUUGCAGAAACUGGUCUCACUUGAUCUCAGUUACAACGAUGGGGCUGAACUUGAAGAAGAAGUGUUUAAAUCACUGUUGCAGAAUUUAACGCAUCUCGGAGUGCUUAAUCUUCACGGAGUUAACAUCUCCUCUGUUUUGCCCGUGAAUAUCUCUACUUCUUUAAGAGUUCUUCAAUUGUCGUAUACUGAUAUACACGGAGUAGUACCCCAAGAGGUUUUCCACCUUCCCAACUUGGAAUCACUUGAUUUAUCAUAUAAUUUCCACCUCCUGAGAGCUACAUUACCCAAAGUUAAGUGGGGAAGUAAAGCUACUCUCCGACACCUUCAUCUUUCACACGUCAACAUAGAUGGAGGAGGUAUACCUGACUCAAUAGGCUUUUUAAAGGACUCAUUAGUCAGUUUGUAUCUGGGCGGCUGUAAUUUGUCUGGGCCUGUACCAAGAUCCAUUGGGCACCUCGUUCAACUUACUCACUUGGGCCUCUCUCAAAAUAAUCUCAAUGGCCCAGUUCCAACAUUUUUUACAGACGUUACAGACUUAAGAUAUAUCUCCCUUGCGCGUAACAAUUUCACUGGAUCUCUACCUCGUUGGUUGUUUCACCAUCCAUCGUUAGAGACCUUGUAUCUGCAUAGUAAUGCAUUCACGGGUCCACUACAUGAAUUUGAUUCUUCUCGAUCACGGCUGCAAUCUUUUUCUUGUUCCAGCAAUUUACUCAAUGGAUCCAUUCCACAUUCAUUUUCUCAACUUGUCAAUCUCACUAAACUAGAUUUGUCAUCAAACAAUUUCAGCGGGGUUUUGGAUUUGGAAAUGUUUUCAGACCUCGAAUCUCUAGAACGUCUUAGACUUUCUCGUAACAGUCUUUCAGUGACAAGUACAAGUAUGGCCACUCUCCCUCCUACGCUUAACUACUUGGACUUGUCAUCUUGUAACAUGAAAGAGUUUCCUCAUUUUUCAAGAGAUGCAAACAUCUCCCUGGUGUUUGUAGACCUAUCAAACAAUAAAAUUGAAGGGGAAAUUCCACACUGGAUUGGGUUGCUGGGGAUGUCCUAUCUGAAUCUUUCUCACAACAAACUAAUAGGCGGUCUUGAGCAACUGCCUUGGAGUCAUAUUGAAUAUCUUGAUCUCCAAUACAAUAAGCUGAAUGGAUCGUUGCCCACCUUGAUGUGUAAUUCCAGCUCUCUUUAUAUUCUAAAUCUGUCUCACAACAAGUUGAGUGGUGUACUACCCAUUUGUCAUACAAAUUUGACUUGGCUUUCCGUGUUGGAUCUGCGGAGGAAUAAAAUUCAAGGAAACAUUCCAGCAACCCUGUCAAAUUUCCAUAAUCUGGAAACCAUUAAUUUGAAUGGAAACCAAUUAGAAGGAAGCAUUCCUUCUUCUUUUGCUGGAUUUGAUUCUUUAGCCGUUCUUGAUCUUGGAAAUAAUCAGAUAAAUGAUACAUUCCCCCAGUGUUUGGAAGCUCUUCCAAAUCUUCAAGUUCUUGUUCUCAAAUCAAAUAAGUUUUAUGGUCUUAUAAACACGAGUUCUCAGGUUGUACACCCAUUUCCUAGCUUGAGAAUCAUUGAUCUUUCGUACAACAAGUUUUCAGGUGCACUGCCAGAAAAAUAUUUCAGAAACUUCAAGGCUAUGAUGAAUGGUGAAGUGAAUAAGGUAAAUCGUAGUUAUAUGGAGCAGGAUCUUUACAGUGAUUCCACAGCUCUAGUGAUUAAAGGCAUGGAGAUUGAUUUAGAAAGAAUUUUGACUGUGUUCACAACUAUUGAUGUAUCAAAGAACAAUUUUGAUGGGGAGAUAGCUGAAUACUUUGGAAAUCUUGUAUCACUCAGAUUUCUUAAUCUUUCUCACAAUUAUCUCACAGGCCACAUACCACGCUCGAUUGGAAAAUUGACUGUGCUGGAGUCACUAGACCUCUCAUCCAACCAACUUCAAGGAGAAAUUCCUCCGCAGCUCACUAGUGUAUAUUCACUUGCAGUUCUCAAUCUGUCUUGCAACCAACUUAGAGGACGUAUUCCAGAAGGGUCGCAAUUCAAUACAUUUGAAAUCUACAGCUACGUCGGGAACUUUGGGCUGUGCGGAAAACCCUUGUCAAAAAAGUGUGAAAAUUAUGUCAGGGCACAAGAAGAAGACGAAGAAGAUGAGGAUGAUGAUUACUUUUUCAGUGGAUUUACUUGGGAAGCGGUGGUGAUUGGAUAUGGGUGUGGAGUGGUGCCUGCAUUUAUCACUGGCUACCUGAUGUUGUUGGCACGGAAACCAAAAUGGUUUGCUGGAAUCAUUGGCAGGGAACUGGGCCUGAAGAUCAGGAGGAUGGAGAUUAGAAGGCGAUAACUAAAGGUUUGCUGUAAUCUAUAUCCCAAUCUGUAGGUCUUGAAUAUUCAGUAAUAAUAUAUAUAGUAAUAUCUGCUAUCAUAUAAUUCUAUAUUUGCAGAUUGGAGAGGCAUGAACAUUUUGGCAUGCAAGUUGAUGGGACAAGCAGGAUUCAGAUGCACUGGAAUCAACCACUACUUCAGCUGUUUAAUUUGCAUCUUUUCUAAGUUACUCUGCACAUAUUCUAAGUUCCAUAUACAAGUUCUGUAAUGUUUAGUUAUUCUGCACAAACUCUAAGUUAGUUUCAACCACUGGGGUGUAAGCAGCCAAGUUAAUAAACCAGCAGUUUCUGCAGCUUUCACAACGUUGCUUCAUAUUAUUUUCCCCCUUAUUAGAUGAGCAAUAUAUUUGUGGAAUGGAUGUACCUGAAUUUGGUAUCCGAAGCUUAGUUAUAGAAAUUGUAGAUCAGCUAGUUUGCAACUUAGUGAGAAUGCUUUCCAUUGGACUUGAUUUACUCGUAGAGAAGCAGCACGCAAUGUUAAGGAAGGCCUGAUACAUAAUGUAUUCGAGGAAGUUUUGGAUUUCUUUUUAUUGAGAGUUUUUGCAAAACGUGGUUAAGAAAUUUGAGUUUUAAAAUUAGCUGUAAAAAGUAAUAGGUCAAUUGUAUUAGAUAUUUCAUGCAUUUGAGUUUUAAAAUUAGCUGUAAAAAAUAAUGGGUCAACGGCAACAGAAAUGAAUUGGUUUGGUUUCACCCGUAAGAGUUCUGCACUUCACACUCUAAAUUCCAGAAUUAAUAAAUUCAAGUCAUCUUUUAUGUCUUAGAGCAUCUCCAACCAUACAAAUUUCUUAACUAAAAAAUGAGGCAUUACAAAUAUAGAAAAUUAGUCAACUUGUUGAAAAAAUCAUAAAACCUGUAGUCUAUAAUUUUAGCCAACCUCUUACUAUAUUUGUCGAAUCUUUACAGAUCUACAAAUUUCUUACACGUUAUUUAUUACCAUAUUAAACUGAUAUAUUCUAUUUUAACAAACUAAAAUAUCAUUGAAGUACAAUGUCUUACAACUUCUGUAUAUAAUGUCUUACAAGUUCAAUUUAACCAACGAUUAUAGCCUACGAUGUUGCAAUGCUCUUAAGCCACUCUUUAUUAUUUUUGAUUCCAUAAUAAAUAAGUUUAAACUUUAAACUUUUUAUAUUUAAUAAAUUUAUAUAAUUAAUAAUAAUUUAAUUAUUAUUUUUUUAUUUGUAUUAAGUUUAAUUUAUAGAUACCUUUAUAUCAAAAAUACUAAAAUCAAUCAAAAUUUUAAUAUUUUGAUUCAGUAACUGGAAUAUAAAUAUAUCUAACUUUUGAAAUGAUAAAUAAAUAGUUUAUGAUUAAUAAAAAACUAGUAAGUAACUUGCACGAUUUCUCUUAUUUACAGUAAUAAAUCUCUUAUUAGCACUUUCAACUAAAUAUUUCUCCCAAACACUUAUAAUUUAUGUCCAAUUUUCAUAUUAUUUCCUUUAGAAAGACUGUUGUAUUAUUUUUAAUUUUAGUAAUUAGAUUAUUUUUAUAUAUAUAAAUUCCAAAUUUAAAAAACUUAAUAUUUUUGUCACGCUGCUUCUUAUAAUUUGUAAUACAAAUUAUUUCUAGAUAAAAUUAAUAUAUUAAUAAAAAUAGUGUAAACUCCAUAUAAUACAUUGAAAUUAAAUAAAUAUGCUCUGUACUUUUUUUUCACAUGCAAAAAACUGCACUGUUUCGGUUUAAGCAAAGCGUGAUAAUCAGGACUCCUAGCUGGAAUGGCGAGUAUUAUUCCUACGAAGAAGAUGAUGUUCAUGAUAUCCCUUCACCCCCAAAGACAAAGAAUUGGAGCAUGAAUUCUGAUUACUGCAUGUGGGAUGGAGUUAGCUGCGACGAGAAUACAGGGGACCUAAGGGGACUGGAUUUAAGCUGCAGUCAUCUGGUGCAUUGGAAUGAAAUUAUAGAACUUCUUCAGAGCCUGAUGCUCUCGAGGAUGCACUAAUGAACAAGCCUAAUGAUGAUCAUGAGUCAUAACUCCGUCCUAGAAUAAAGUAUCAUGAAACAUAUUUAGUAUUACAUUUUGUAUUAUUGGAAACUUGAUUUGAAACCGAAAUAGUUUGGUGGAAUCAUUGCCAGGGUAUUGGGUCCGAAGAUCGAGGAUGGAGAAUAAAUUGAUUUUGUUCAAAUAUUUAACACAACCCCAUCAUCAUUAUCCAUCACAAGCCCGGUCCAGUGUAGAGUUCUGGCAACUCCAUUUCUUGACACUUCUGUUGAAGUUGGCCUGUCUGGCAGACAAGAGGCCCUGUUUUAGAGGUGAUAUAUGCGCACAGGUCAAAAAUAUACUCCCUCCGUCCCACCAGAUUCUUUACAGUUUCCUUAUUUGGUCGUCCCACCCAUUUCUUUACAUUACAAAACUUUCUUAAAAUAGUUAAUGGGUCCCAACACUUUUCCACUUUUUCUCCCUUUUCACACUACUUUUACUCCACUAUCUCUUUAUUAUAUAUUAAAAAUCAGUGGGUCCCACCACUUCACCCACUUUUCUUUCUUUUUCCCACUACUUUAUACAUAUUUCUUAACCUCCGUGUCCAAACCCAAUGUAAAGAAUUGGGUGGGACGGAGGGAGUAUAUUUCUUCCAAUAGAUUACAUCUCUUUUCUUCAAAAUUUAUUGUAGUUUCAAAAUGUAGCAUUUGAGAACUCAUUCUCUUCACUUCUUAAAUACUUGGUCUUGGUCAAUACAAACACGAUUAAGACCGGUGUCAAUAUCACUCAUUAUUUUUCCACUCCUUUGAAUGGCAUUCUACAAUCCACAUAUCAGUACUCAGACUUUCACCAGUGAACCAUUAAUGCAUAGAUAAUUGAAGAAAGAAACUUCAACAUAUUUGCAUAUCUUUAUCCAUCUUUUUUUUCUAGUCAUCAACAGGCACAAGCUGUUAAUUUUUAUAUGUUCUUAAUUGGUAUAAGCAUUUAAGGUGCGUGUUGAUAUUUCUCACUAAUCUUCUUCUGCUCUAAGUGACAUAUUAUUACAAUCCACAAAUUAGUAGACAGACUAAUAUGGUUAGUUGAGACCAUCAAUCUGGAGAACAGACUAAUACAUGUGUAGUAAUCUGAUCAUCAUUUAUUUGAUUACAAUAGAAAUUCGGCUUUGUUUAGUUCCAUCCUCGGGCUCUUCAUUUCUAAACAUAUUUGCUGAUACUUUUUAUUGUACAAUUUAGAAUAUUCCAUAAAAUUUUAAAUUCGGUGCUAGAUGAUUUUAUGUCCUGUUUUCAUUCCAUUCAUGAACUAAUGAAAAUUUUGAAAUUGGGUCAUAUUAGGCAGUGAUGCCACCUUUCUGGACCUGCAUUUCAUGGCCACAAACUCCUAUUGUGCCAAAAAAUUCCAGCUGUUUGGUGAGAUUUUUCUACGUGCUCUUUUGUUCGGACUUGUUUGCUGAAUCCCACAAUAGACAAUAUUGAUGUUAACAACUCUUGCGUCAGUUACUAGACUUGUCAGUAGCCCAUUCUUUACGGCAGACGUGGAAUUUACUUGAAGAAAUGAAGGUGUAAGAAAGUUGAGAACAUUUUGUUGAUUAUUUCCUUCCCCAGAAACUGCACUCCAGCAUCAAAGUACCUUUCAAAGACUCCAGCAUCAUUUCUUGAUUAUCAAAGUCUUCGUCUUUGUCAUCUCCUGCUCUGAAAGUGCUUCUAUUGCAGACCACAUAUUAGUAGACAGACUACUAAAAUUCAUCUAAAAUGACCUCUCUGCGUGGGCUCUUUUGAACAAUCAGGGUUGGACAUGAUUCUACACGCAUCAGAGAAAAACUAUCAGCUGGCUAAAAACCUCUCUGCAUCAACUCUAUUGAGAAAAGAAACUAUGGCUCAUACAGUUUAAGUUGAUACCAAAUCGUAAAUGAGAAUACUUGCAGUUUUAAAUUACUGCACGCUAUUUUUUCAACGAAAAUAUGUGCAGUUUUAACAUAGUCUAAUUAUUUUCUUGAUGACGGCUCUGCAAAUUGUGAUAGUUGAAAAUCUUUUUAUCGUCUUUGACAAGCAUCAAGGAAAUGCAGGAAGGUUAUUUAUCAGCUGAUUAAUCUCUUUCUUUGUCUCUGAAAAUCCUUACAUUAGAUCUGUUGAGAGUCUUUACUGGGGAUAAUCUUCUGUCACUGGAUCUGUUGAGGUAACUUUGGGACAAAGUACUGUCUCUAUUACAUGGAAGUUUGAACUGUUUCAUAUUUUUUAGACAACUAAAUGCACUUACAAACUCGACUUGUGUUUGAAAAGGUUCAGACACUCGAACCUUGAAAAGAACGAGAGAGAUAUUAUUGGAUCAAGAGAUCUUUAGUCAGGUCUAGUGCUUUCUUAAAUUAAUUUCCUAAAGUUUCAGUUAAGAUGUGAACCAAAGCUCUUGGUGGUGGUUCUCAUUGCUCUCUUUGUUCCAAAUUAAACUUAAAAAUUGUUGUGUGAUCCCAAGUUGCGGGUUUACUGAUGAGAAUAAUAAAUAUUCAACUGAUGAUACCGAAGCAGCAGCAUACUGCAAUUUCUUGUAAUAAUCAAAAGUGCGAGUACUUAUAAAGAAACUUAUACCUAUAAAGCUGUAGAAACCAAUGGUAAGCAUAACUGCAUAUAAGAUACAAAACUAAAUUUAAUACAAGACUUGUUCUAAGCAUUGGAAAAUAUAAUUCAUCCUGGUCUUCAUCUUCUACUGCUCCAAAUAUGCUUUUAUUGCAGCCAAUGUAUUAGUGAAAAGAAUUAAAUUUAAAUUAAUUGUAGACCGCAAAUAUAAGAUUAUGAGAGUUUCUACAACCCACAAAUUAGUAGACAGACUAAUAUGGUUAGUUGAGACCAUCAAUCCGGAGAAACUGUUUCUAAAAUGACCCAUCUGUAUGAAUUAAUGAAGAAAGAAACUUAUACCUACAAUGUAAAGGAAAUGGUCACGAGUAUAUUGCAUUUUUAAUCCAAAUUGUAUAUGAUUCUAUCUGUGCUACUGAUAGUAAAUAAUAAAUCUACCACGGGCCUUGUAGUUAAUCAAGGUAUUUAACUCUACCUUUCUACAUUGUUGAAUAGUUUGAAUAAAAUAAUUGUAAUAAAAUUUUUUCUGGUGCUGUGUGAGUUUAUCAAAGCUAAUCUCGGUGAGAAAUUAACUAAAGCCCUUGGAAUUAGUAAAUAAAAACUCUGGGGAGUGAAAUUAAAAGUCUGAGUACAAGGCAAUGAGCAGGAAACAGCAUAAGGAGUUUACAACUUGAAGUUUCUAUUCUCCUCCGGUCUUUUUGUGAAAAUCAAGUGGCCAUUGAUACAGUUAAAAAUGGCAGGACUACACAUAAUAAAUCACACAGUCGCUUUAUGAGAGAGGAAAAAUGUCAGGACUGCAAUGCAUUUCUAGCCCAUUUUGUACAGCAGCUCAAACGUUUAAAAAACUUCAUUAAUUAUUUUCUUUUAUUGAAACCCACACUCAUCCAUCAAAGUAGCUCUCAAAGACUAAUUUCCAUCACCUUUUGAUUCUCAAAGUCUUCUUCUUCGUCUUCUACUGCUCCAAAAGUUCUUACAUUGCACGCCACAUAUUAGUAGACAUAUACUUGAUCUUGAUGUACAAUGUUAUGUUAUGAUGCUAAUAACCCUCUGCAGGGGUUAUUAAAGAAAGCAACUUAUAGUUUAAGUUGCUGAACAUUUGUGUGUGCCAAAUUUAAUUUCACACAUCAUUACUAGAUUUACACAUGGUAUUAGACAUCAGUACUAGUAUAAGAUGUUAAUCAAGUUUUUGAAUUUCUUUUAUUUCAGAUAACAAGUUUAAUUUUUUUUUUGUGGAAUUAAUUAUUUAUAUCACGCAUUUGAGCUUUAAAAUUAGCUCUAAAUAAAAGUUGAUUUUCGCUCAAAGAAACAAUGAUGUAUAAGAAGAUUUUCAGAACUGAAUUAUUUCUUUCAUUUUUACAAGUUCCAUUCAAGAACCGAAAGUAGCUCACAAAGACUCACUACAUCAUCUUUCAAUUCUCAUAGUCUUGGUCUUUGUCUUCUGCUGCUCAAAAAUUCUAUUACAGCCCACAUAUCAGUAUCAUAAACCUAAUUAUGAAUAGUAUUUAACACUAAACACAAUUGAAGAUUUGUCUCACAGACUUACUUCCAUCACCUUAUGGUUCUCAAAGUCUUCGUCUUCUAAUGCUCCAAAAGUUCUAUUAGUGCAGGCCACAUAUUAGUAAACAGACUACAAUUCAUCCAAAAUGACCCCUCGUAUUGGACACUUUGAACACCUCUGUCUGUAUAUGCAUUGGAGAAGAAUUAUCAGCUAGUUAAAAUAAGGGAAAUUCUUCAUGGUACACUCAUAAAAUUGGCUUUUCUCAAUGGUACCAUCCCAUUUUUGACUGGUACCAGUGGUACCCUCGUACUUUGAAUCUACUCUCUAUGGUACACUCGUGUACUUUUGAUCUAAAAUUGGAUGUAAAAGUUGUUUAGAGACGGGUAUUUUGUCUAAGUUUGUAUUUAAUCAUCAGGUAUUUGGUCUUUUAGUCAGACUGUGGCUCAUACAGUUUGAAGUUGAUAUCAAAUCUUAGAUGAGAGUGUUUGCAGUUUUAUAUUACUGAACAUUUUUUCUUGAAUUCGAUAUCGAAUUUUAAACGAAAAUAUGUGCAGUUUUAAUUUGAAAGUUAUGCAAAUUACAUUAAUAAUAUCAUCUAUUUUGAGUCUCUUGGUCUUCGGUCUUCUAUUGCAGCAUAUCAUAUACUUCUCAAAUGAUUGAAAAUGAACUCUCUCCAAAAGACAAGGGGGUCUAUCGAAGUAGACCUGCAAUUGAUUUUACUUGAAGAAACAAUAAUACUCCAGUUCACUUCUUAAAGUUUUGGUCGUCUUUUAUCUCUCAAAGUCUUGAUCUUUGUCGUUUACAUCUCAAACAAUUUUCCAUCGUAUUGAACACUUCACACAAUUCCAUCGUAUUGAACACUUCACACAAUUCCAUGCUAUCGUAUCAAACACUUCACACAAUUCCAUAAAAUUGAAGAUUUUUGACGAGAUGUUUUAACUAUGAGUUCUUCAAAUUAUUGCUUGUAAGGCCCGCGACAUUUUAGAGAGUCACCAAAGCUUUGGCCUGUGGAUUAAGUUGAUGAAAUCUAAUGCAUCGGAAUCAAUGACAACACUAUUUUAGGGGCUUGAUGCUCUUAAUAUUAUUCAUUCCGCUCAUAAAUUUCAAGUGGAGAGUGGAGAAGAAAGAGCAUCGUGAUUGUCACGGUACCCUUACUUAAAAUUUGUUCGAUUAGGUUUUUUUACGUAGUUUGCGCUUGGUCAUCUAGGUAGGCCUUCAUUAUAUUAACCCACUCGCAUGUCUUCAGCCACUCUUGUAAUUUCAUUAGGGCUGUCAAAAAAGUCCGAAAAAUCCGAUAUCCGUCCGAAAAAUCCGCAUUCGUAUCCGAGAUAAAGCGGAUAUUAUCCGUAUCCGAGACAAAGCGGAUAUUAUCCGCAUCCGAAUCCGACAAUUCCGGAUACGGAUACAGGCAUAUUUGUAUCCGAUAAUAUCCGAAUCCGAAAUUAAAUAUAUAUAUGAUAUUAAAUAUUAUAUAUGUAUAUUAUUAGUAUUAUUCAAUAACUAUAUAAUGUGUGUAUUUAUAUAUGUAUACAUAAAAUAAUAUAUUUAUAUAAAUUUUGUAUAAUUUUAAAAUAUUAUAGACAUAUAUCAUAAUUUUAUUUGAGUUUGAUAUUCUAAAGAUAACAAAUUUAUAUUGAAAGAUAAAUAAGAAUUAAUUUUUGAAUUAAUAUAAACUUUAUUUAAUGAUUUUAAUUUUUUUACUCAGUUUUUAAAAAUUAAACUUUAAUUUUUACUAUUUUUUAUGAUUUUUUAGAAAUUUUAAUAAAAAAAUAAAAUUUCUGAUUAAAAAUCAGAUUCGGAUCCGGAUAUUAUCCGAAUCUGGAUAAUAUCCAUCGGAUCCGGAUUCGGAUAUCAUCCUUUAAAAUAUUUCGGAUUCGGAUCCGGAUACGGAUAUGGAUUUUCGGAUUCGGAUCCGGAUACAGGCAGAUCCGUAUCCGAAUUAUCCGUUUGACACCCCUAAAUUUCAUAUUAAACAAAUUUAAAUUUCUUACAUAAAUUUGUAAAAAUAAUAAAUUUUUUCUUAUUUAUGAUAUUAAUAAAUCUCUUACUCUCUUAUUACUGUAUUCAACUAAUUAUUUUUUCCUAACAGUUAUAAAUGUAUCACAUCAGUUAUGAAAUUUAAAACAAAUAUGUCCAAUUUUUUCGAGAAAGAUGGUUGUAUAAUUUUUAAUUUAAAAUUUUAAUUAUUUUUAUUUUCAAUAUAAUUUACAACUAAAUUUUUUUUAUUAUAAUUUCACUGCUUCAUAUUUGUAAUAAAAUUAAAUAUAUCAUAAAUACACUUUUUUCUAUAUAUAUGCUAACCUCUAGAGAUGUUAAAGAUCAUCCCAAACAAAAUUUGAAAGCGAAAAUGAAAAUGAAAAAUUCCGUACUCUGUUUUUUCACCAUCAGUGUGAUGCUCAUCUUCUUGCAGUUGCAGCACCACCUGGUGGCUUCUUCAUUGAGCCCCAGCUUGCAGAAACUUGCGUUGUUCGACUUUAAACAAACCUUUUCAAUCAGUAAUGAUCCUAAUAGCUGGAUAUGCUCCUAUUAUUCCGUCGAAGACGAAGAGUUUUACGAAAUUCCUUCUCGGCCAAAGACAAAGAAUUGGAGCAUGAGUUCUGAUCACUGCACAUGGGAUGGAGUUAGCUGCGACGACAAGACAGGGGAUGUUAUCGGACUGGAUUUAACUUGCAGUCAGCUGCAAGGAGCCAUUCUUCCUAACAACACUCUCUUCCAGCUCUCUCAUCUCCGCUUCCUCAAUCUUUCUCAAAACGACUUUUCCCAUUCCAACCAGUUCCCUCAGGAAUUUGGUUUCUUUGCAAAAGGUUUGAAGCAUCUCAACCUCUCUUAUACUGGAUUAUCAGGGAGAGUUCCCUUGGGAAUCUCUCAUUUGCAGAAACUGGUCUCACUUGAUCUCAGUUACAACUCUGAAGCUGAACUUAAAGAAGAAGUGUUUAAAUCAAUGUUGCAGAAUUUAACUCAUCUCAGAGUGCUUAAUCUUAAUUACGCUAACAUCUCCUCUGUUUUGCCCGUGAAUAUCUCUGCUUCUUUAAGAGUUCUUCAAUUGUGGGGUACUGGUAUAGACGGAGUAGUACCCCAAGAGGUUUUCCACCUUCCCAACUUGGAAUCACUUGAUUUAUCAAGUAAUUACGACCUGAGAGCUACAUUACCCAAAGUUAAGUGGGGAAGUAAUGCUACUCUCCAACACCUUGUUCUUAAAUACAUCAACAUAGAUGGAGGUAUACCUGAUUCAAUAGGCUUUUUGGAGUCGUUGGGCAGUUUGGAUCUGAGCCGUUGUAAUUUGUCUGGGCCGAUUCCAAGAUCCAUCGGGCACCUCAUUCAACUUACUACAUUGGUCCUCUCUGAAAAUAAUCUCAAUGGCCCAAUUCUAACUUUUCUUACAGACCUUAAAGACUUGAGAUAUAUCUCCCUUGAGCGUAACAAUUUUACGGGUUCGUUUCCCUCUUUUCUUGCCCACUCCAGUAAACUAGUUGUGAUGUAUCUUGAUAGUAAUAGCUUUACUGGAUCCCUACCCAGUUGGUUGUUUCACCCUCCAUCGUUAGAGACCUUGUAUCUGCAUAAUAACGCAUUCACGGGUCAACUACAUGAAUUUCAUUCUUCUCACUCACGGCUGCAAUCUUUUUGGUGUAACAACAAUUUACUCUACGGAUCCAUUCCACAUUCAUUUUCUCAACUUGUGAAUCUCACAUCCCUAGAUUUGUCAUCAAACAAUUUCAGCGGGGUUUUGGAUUUGGAAAUGUUUUCAGGCCUCAAAUUUCUAAGAAGUCUUGAUCUUUCUCAUAACAGUCUGUCAGUGAGAAGUACAAUCAUGUCUACUCUCCCUCCUAAACUUAACCACUUGGGCUUGUCAUCUUGCAACAUGAAAGAGUUUCCUCACUUUUCAAGAGAUGCAAACAUCUCCAUGGAUUUUAUAGACCUAUCAAACAAUAAAAUUGAAGGGGAAAUUCCACACUGGAUUGGGUCGCUGGGGAGGUACUCUGACACUUACAGCUCCUAUCUGAAUCUUUCUCACAACAAACUAAUAGGCGGUCUUGAGCAACUGCCUUGGGGUUAUAUUACUUAUCUUGAUCUCCAAUACAAUAAGCUGGAUGGAUCGUUGCCCACCUUGAUGUGUAGUUCCACCUCUCUUCAUAUUCUAAAUCUGUCUCACAACAAAUUGAGUGGUGUACUACCCAGUUGUCCUCCACAUAGGAAUAUUCUUUCAGUGUUGGAUCUGCGGAGGAAUAAAAUUCAAGGAAACAUUCCAGCAACCUUGUCAAAUUUCUAUAAUCUGGAAACCAUUAAUUUGAAUGGAAACCAAUUAGAAGGAGGCAUUCCUUCUUCUUUUGCUGAAUUUGAUUCAUUAGCCGUUCUUGAUCUUGGAAAUAAUCAGAUAAAUGAUACAUUCCCCCGGUGUUUGGAAGCUCUUCCAAAUCUCCAAGUUCUUGUUCUCAAAUCAAACAAGUUUUAUGGUCUUAUAAACACGAGUUCUCAGGUUGUACACCCAUUUCCUAGCUUGAGAAUCAUUGAUCUUUCGUACAACAAGUUUUCAGGUGCACUGCCAGAAAAAUAUUUCAGAAACUUCAAGGCUAUGAUGAAUGGUGAAGUGAAUAAGGUAAAUCGUAGUUAUAUGGAGCAGGAGGAUUAUUACAGGGAUUCCACAGCUCUAGUGAUUAAAGGCAUGGAGAUUGAUUUAGAAAGAAUUUUGACUGUGUUCACAACUAUUGAUGUAUCAAAGAACAAUUUUGAUGGGGAGAUAGCUGAAUACUUUGGAAAUCUUGUAUCACUCAGAUUUCUUAAUCUUUCUCACAAUUAUCUCACAGGCCACAUACCACGCUCGAUUGGAAAAUUGACUGUGCUGGAGUCACUAGACCUCUCAUCCAACCAACUUAAAGGAGAAAUUCCUCCGCAGCUCACUAGUGUAUAUUCACUUGCAGUUCUCAAUCUGUCUUGCAACCAACUUAGAGGACGUAUUCCAGAAGGGUGGCAAUUCGAUACGUUUGAAAACAGCAGCUACGCUGGUAACUUUGGGCUGUGCGGACAUCCCUUGUCGAAAAAGUGUGAAUCUUAUGUUAAAACACAAGAAGAAGACGAAGAAGAUGAGGAUGAAUGUCACUUUUUCAGUGGUUUUACUUGGGAAGCGGUGGUGAUUGGAUAUGGGUGUGGAGUGGUGCCUGCAUUUAUUAUUGGGUACCUGAUGUUGCUGGCACAGAAACCAAAAUGGUUUGCUGGAAUCAUUGGCAGGGAAUUGGGCCUGAAGAUGAGGAGGAUGGAGAUUAGAAUGCGAUAACUAAAGGUUUGCUGUAAUCUGUAUCCCAUUCCCAGGUCUUGAAUAUUCUGUGAUAAUAUAGUAAUAUCUGGUCUCAUAUAAUUCUAUAUUUGCACCUGUAGACGUUUACAGAUUGGAGAGGCAUGAACAUUUUGGCAUGCAAGUUGAUGGGAAAAGCAGGAUUCAAAUGCAUUGGAAUCAACAACUGCGGUGUUGUAGGCAGCCAAGUUAAUAAACCACUACUUCAGCUGUUUUGCAUCUUCUGUGAUUUUAAAUUUUACAUUUUACAAUAUAAGUCAAAAGAUACAAGUUCAAUAUACAAGUUUUGUUUUGUUUAGUUCCAGCCUAUAAACACUUCAGUAGAUACCAGAGGAGAAAUGGAUACAAUCAAUGUCGGAAUUGGUCUUUAUAGUUGAAACAAAGACUACCAGAUCAUUACCAAUAUCAACUAGGCAUGUUGUUUAACGGGGAACUCAUAACUGGACAAUAAUUUUAAUAAUUUAGAAUUUGUGUAAUUUAUUACUGGUCUAAAGGACACGGGAUGGGUUUGCAAUAGUUAUUUGGAAACAGCUUGCUUAGAUAAAUGGACAGUGUUUUAUAAUAAUAGAGUCCGGGGCCUAUCAAGUGAUUGUUAGAGCAAUUUAUCUACUGUUUUUUAUAGCGGAAAAACAUAAACACUUGGUUUUUUAGUGCAUGCAGAGGGUCCAUCAGUCCAUCCGCAAUUUACACACUCAUUAUUCCAGGAUUCUCUGUUUCAUGGUAUUCUGCUGUGUAAAGAACAAUCACUUGUCAGGACCACCUCCCAUAAUCACAAGAGAUUCUAUAGGAAAAGAAGCAACAGACAUGGUUGGAUUGUUUGUUUUCUGUAUUCUUCUGCUAAAAGGCUACCCUUUUAAAGUCUCUUUUAUAUAUAAAGAUACAAAAAAAAAAAAAAAAAUCAUACUAAUAAAGAUUCUUUUUGGCUCCUCCAGAACUGGCCAGUUUUUCCUUAACUUUGCUUCUCCCACAUAAGACUAUAAGAAUAUUACAAUGAAAUAGUUGAUUAUCGUUGAACUUGCCAAUCUGUUGACUUGGUAAUUUGAAUUUGAUAAGCUCUGAAUUGUAAGUAACGAGGAACAAGAUGACAUGAUGGUAAAUAGAAAAUACAAGAUGUCCAUCAACAUAGCAAAGAAAUAUUUUUCAGCCGGACGACAUAUCAGGAUGUUCAUUACUAAAACAUGUUUGCUGAUGCUUUAUAAUGUACAAUUUACAAUAUAUCACAGGUUGUAAUAUACACUACUAGAUGAUUUUAUGGCCUGUUUAUCCUUAAUCGCUAUCAUGAACUAAUGAAAAUUUAUAAAAGUGGAUCACAUUUGCAGUGAUGCCGCUAUUUUUCCUGAAUUUCCCUAGUUGUGAAGAUUCCCUAGUUGUGAAGAUUGUCUAAAUCAUGUUAGAGUCGCUGCCAUCAGUGAAUGCAUUCAAUGGCUUACUGAAACUGGUAGAGAUACUAAAUUGCAAGAUGACAGAGUGUCCAUGCGUCAUUUUAAGGAUCAAGAUGUGUAGCUGUGACUUGUAUUUUAAAAUUGCAAGAUGUUUUACAAUGGUAGCAGAGGAGGGCUGGGGAUUUAUUGGGUCAGUUCGAAGCACACAAGUAGAAUUGGUUGUGGCAGAGCAAGAAGCUGAGCACGACCAUAAGAAUUUGAACUCUGAGGCUAAUUUGACUCUACUUGUACAAGUUAAUAUAUGAUGGCACAAGUUAAUAUAUGAUGGCAGCAAAGGAGUUUCUUACAUGCGCCAGUUUACAGUUCUUAGAAACAUCUUAUUAUGCUUAUUUGUACUAAACAGAUAUUAGUAGUCCACCAGAAACAAGGAGAUUUGAUAUAUCCCGGACUCUGAGGCCGGUGACAGUCUAUGAGAGGGCAUGUAAUCGAUGGAACAAGGAGGAUUCAGAUACAUUGGAUUCAUUAACAGAACUUCUUCAGAGCCGGAGUCACUUCCAGAUGCUCUCUUCUGGUAGAUAUCUAUUGGAGAAGUAAAAACAUCUCAUAAUCAUCAUUCAGCACUUGCUCUGAGUUUGUUGAUCAACCAUGCGAUGUUGAAGGCAGCUCUUAUCUUAUCUGCAAUCAAGUUAAUGAACCACCACCUCAGUUGUUAAGCAUCUUUCACCAUUUUACAUUUUACAACUCACAAUAAAAGAUUACAUGUGUAUUAAUCUGAUCAUCAUUUGUUUGAUCAAUAUAGAAGUUCGGCUCUGUUUACUUCUAUCCCUGGCUCUUCAUUUCUAGAACAUUGUUGAUACUUUUUAUUGAAUGGUUAAGAAUAUUCCAUAGAUUUUUAUAUUCAGUGCUAGAUGAUUUUAUGUCCUGUUUUCAUUCCAUUCAUGAACUAAUUAAAAAUUUGAAAGUGAUGCCCACCUUUCUGGACCUGCAUUCCAUGACCACAAACUCCAAUUCUGCCCAAAAAUUGCAGCUGUUUCGUAAUAUUUUUCUACGUGUUCUUUUGUUUGGACUUGUUUGCUGGACCAUGCAUAUUGUUUUGAUACAAACAUCUUUGUUGAUGUUAACACUCAUUGUUAGUAGCCCAUUCUUUACGGCAGACAUUGAAUUGGAUUUACUUGAAGAAAUGAAGGUUUAAGAAAGUUCAGAGCAAUUUGUUGAUUAUUUCCUUCCCUAGAAACUGCACUCCAGCAUCAAAGUACCUUUCAAAGACUCUACACAUAAUCUCUUGAUUAUCAAAGACUUGGUCUUGCAUAUACUGAUAUACACUGAAUAUAGGUUUCUUUCAUUUCCUUGAAAUUGCAUUUUUCGAAGUAACUCUCCAGACUCAUUCCCGUCACUUCUCAAAGUCUUAGUCCUCAUCAAUACAUUCACAUAAUAUCACACCAAUUUGCUCAUGCUCAGAUGGGCUUUUCUUACAAACCACAUAUGUUCACUUCUCAGAGUCUUAGUCCUCGUCAAUGUAUAGAGAUAAUAUCUCACCAUUUGCUAGUGCUACAAAUCAGUUUCUCCUACAACCACACAUAAUCGGAGAAAAGUCUGUCAAGUGUCAAGUGGACUUGAAAGACCCUUCUGCAUGGAUUAUUGUAUGUCAUGAAUGCCUUCUGAUAUCCCUGAAAGUGCAAGCAAGUUAUAAAAGUAGCUGGGCAGACUCUUUCUCAUCAAUACAUUCACAUUCAAAGCGGGCGUUGAUAUGCCUCCCUAAUUUUCUAAUGCCCUAGACGGAAUUCUAUUACAAUCCACAUAUGAUGGGUAGCGAUCAUCAAUUCAAAGAAGACACUAUCAGCAGCUUGCAGGAAAUGACCCCUCUGCAUGGAUUAUCGAAGAAAGAAACUUAUACCUAUAAAGCUGUAGAAAACCAAUGGUAAGCAUAACUGCAUAUAAGAUACAAAACUAAAUUUAAUACAAGACUCGUUCUGAGCAUUGGAAAAUAUGCUUUUAUUGCAGCCAAUGUAUUAGUGAAAAGAAUUAAAUUUAAAUUAAUUGUAGACUGCAAAUAUAAGAUUAGGAGAGUUUCUACAACCCACAAAUUAGUAGACAGACUAAUAUGAUUAGUUGAGACCAUCAAUCUGGAGAAACUGUUUCUACAAUGACCCAUCUGUAUGAAUUAUUGAAGAAAGAAACUUAUACCUACAAUGUAAAGGAAAUAAUCACGAGUAUAUUGCAUUUUUAAUCCAAAUUGUAUAUGAUUCUAUCUGUGCUACUGAUAGUAAAUAAUAAAUCUACAACGGGCCUUGCAGUUAAUCAAGGUAUUUAACUCUACCUUUCUACAUUGUUGAAUAGUUUGAAUAAAAUAAUUGUAAUAAAUUUUUUGCUGGAUGCUGUGUGAGUUUACCAGAGCUUAUCUUGGUGAGAAGUCUGAGUACAAGGCAAUGAGCAGGAAACAACAUAGGGAGUUUACAACUAGAAGUAUCUAUUCUCCCCUAGUCUUUUUGUGAACAUCAAGAGGCCAUUCAUUUUGCUCACAAACCAGUUAAAAAUGGCAGGACUACACAUAAUGAAUCACGCAGUCACUUUAUGUGAGAAAAGAAAAAUGUCAGGACAGCAGCUCAAACGUUUAAAAAACUUCAUUAAUUAUUUUCUUUUAUUGAAACCACACUCAUCCAUCAAAGUAGCUCUCAAAGACUAAUUUCCAUCACCUUUUGAUUCUCAAAGUCUUCUUCUUCGUCUUUUACUGCUCCUAAAGUUCUUCCAUUGCAAGCCACAUAUUAGUAGACAUACUACAUCAACUCUGUGGAAAGAAACAAUCUAUACUUGAUCUUGAUGUACAAUGUUAUGAUGUAAAUGUAUAAUAUCAAAAUUAGGAAUAGUAGUCACGCGCUAAUUAAUAACCCUCUGCAGGGGUUAUUAAAGAAAGCAACUUAUAGUUUAAGUUGCUGAACAUUUGUGUGUGCCAAAUUUAAUUUCACACAUCAUUACUAGAUUUACACAUGGUAUUAGACAUCAGUACUAGUAUAAGAUGUUAAUCAAGUUUUAUAAUUUCUUUUAUUUCAGAUAACAAGUUUUUUUUUUUGUGGAAUUAAUUAUUUAUAUCAUGCAUUUGAGCUUUAAAAUUAGCUCUACAUAAAAGUUGGUCUAUUGCAGUAGACACUAAAAUGAUUUCGCUCAAAGAAACAAUGAUGUAUAUGAAGAUUUUCAGAACUGAAUUUCUUUCUAUUUCUAAAAAUUGCAUUCAAGAACCGAAAGUAGCUCACAAAGACUCAUUACAUCAUCUUUCAAUUCUCAUUGUCUUGGUCUUUGUCUUCUACUGCUCAAAAUUCUAUUACAGCCCACAUAUCAGUAUCAUAUACCUAAUCAUAAAUAGUAUUUAAUAUUUAACACAAUUGAAGAUUUGUCUCAGAGACUUACUUCCAUCACCUUAUGGUUCUCAAAGUCUUCGUCUUCUAAUGCUCCAAAAGUUCUAUUAGUUCAGGCCACAUAUUAGUAAACAGACUACAAUUCAUCCAAAAUGACCCCUCUUAUUGGACACUUUGAACACCUCUAUCUGUAUAUGCAUUGGAGAAGAAUUAUCAGCUAGUUAAAAUAACCUCUUCGCAUCAACUCUAUCGAAAGAAGCAAUUCAUACCUAAAGUACAAUGUUUGGAUAAAAUCAGGAAUAGCAACUGCACGCUAAUUUUUUAGUUGAAGCAGGCUACCUUGGUGUAAUUCAGUGAACAUCCCCGUAAUUUCUUGACAGGCCACAAUUAAGGAAGUUCACAGAAUUAAAUUCCAGAAGUAGCUCCCUGAGACAGAUUUGCAUCAUCUUUCCAUCCUCAAAGUUCUUUACACUUAUAUUAUAUUUCAUGUUUUAUUGUAAUGAACAUAGCAGUUUCCUGUUCAGUAAUAUUCCAGGCUCAGGUUCUUCAUUCCUAGUCUCUGUUACAUGUUUGCCACUAAAACGUAUUGAACAGUUAUUAGUUUAUGAUUGUAUUCCAUCUUGAAAGGAGAUCUCAAAGACUCAUUCCCAUAAUCUUAAGAAUCUCAAGUCUUGAUGAACUUGGCCUUCAUCAUAUUUGUACUCUUGUAAUUCCAUAUUAAUGAAGUUUAAAUAUUUAUUUCAAAAAAAAAUGAAGUUUAAAUAUUAAAAUUUUUAAUUUUAGUAAAUUUGUAAAAAUAGUAAAAUUUGUCUUAUUUAUAAUAUUAAUAAAUCUCUUACUUUCUCGUUACUGUAUUCAACUUAAUAAUUCUUACAAACACUUGUAAGUGCAUCACAUAAGUUAUGUAAAUUCAGAAUAAAUUAUGUCCGAUUUCUUUAAGAGAGAUUGUUAUAUUGUUUUUACUUUAAAAAUUGAAUUAUCUUUUAUUUUUAAUAUAAUUUACAACUAAAAAAUAUUUAAUAUAUUUUCUUAUUUUUGUAAUAUGACUAAACAUAUCUUAAAUACACCUUUUUCCUAUAUAUAUAUAUAUAUACAUCUAUUAUAUUUUUUAUGAAAUAUAAUUACAAAUUUUGAUUAUUAAACCGAAAACGAAGUUAUACAAUUUUUUUAUUUCAAAGAUCAUCUAAUAUAUCAUGUAAUAUCUCAACAUGAUUCUAUAACAGAAUAAUAAUCAUUCAGAAUUAUUCUGUUGUAGAAUCAGUUUCGAAACUAUACUUUUUUUUAUCAAAUUUUAAGUGUUAAAUUACUUAAAAUAGAUAUAUUUUAUAGUAUUCUAUAUUAGAAUCACGUUUUAUAUGUAUUUUAUAGCAGAAUUUAUAAUAAAAUUGAUGAUUUAUAAUGCCGCACUAUGUAACUUCAUAUAAAGAGUCCCUUUCUGGAAUGUUGGCAUAUAUAUAUACUAGCUUAAAACCCGUGCAAUGCACGGGCGGUUAUGAUAUUUAUUAUUUUAUCGUAUAUAUUCCAGAUUUAACUAAUUUUAUUGAAAUUAAAAUUGUGAUAGAAUAAUGUGAUUAAAUAAAACAUUUAUUUAACGACUGAAAAAUUCUUAAUAGUUAAAUCCGUCAAAUAGCUAAUUUAAAAUUAAGUCAAAUAUAUAUUUUAAUAAAAAUGUUAAAAUAUAUUAUAUUUUUUAUAUGUUAUAAUUCAAGAAGACACAUAAACCUAGAUAUAAACAACCCAAUCAACCUUUUAAUAUUUUGUUAUUAAUAAUAUAGAACAAAUCCUUAAAAUAGAAUCAGAUAAGUAUAAAACAUAUUGUAAGCUAAAGGGAAGUGUACUGAUCCAUAACACUAACCUAAUUUAUUUAUUUUUAAACAGCACUAACCUAAUUUAUAAAUUAAGGAGGUCCAUGGAUCAAAUAUGAACCGGUUUAUAAAACUCGACCGACCAACUGAACUUUUCAGUUUAUGUUUUAAUAGUACAAUAAUAUAUAGUAUAGUAUAGAUUUGUAAUUUUAACUUUUAAAUUUAGAUCAGUAGAGCAUUUAAAGUAACGUUAAUAUAUUUUGAUCGACAAAUAUCGCCAUUUAUUUAAUAAUAUUGUUAUAUUUUUAUAUAUAUGUCGCCCGUGUUAAUUGUAGUAGAUCAAUUUUUUCAGUCAGUAAAUCUUAAAAAAAAAAUGUGUUUUAGUUAAAAAGGUAAUUACUAUUGCUCGAUGUUAUUUUAGAAAAUUGUGUUUUUUUAGUUAGAAAAUAUAAAAAAGAUAACAUAUUCUAGUUUAAAAGAAUAUUUAGUUAUAUAGAUAGGCCUGUAUUUCGGCCCAAAGUUAAAAAGAAUACUCCCUCCGUCCCCUCCAAUUCUUAUCGUUUGGAAUGGAGUGCUCGGCACGCAUUUUAAGACUCAUAUAAAGUAUAGUUCCAUAACUCAUUUUCAUAAUUCUCUUUUUCUGAAUAAAAAUUUAAACAUUACAUUUUUAUUUAAAAAAAGAAAAUUUUAAAAAUAAGUUAUGGAACUAUACUUUAUAUAAGCCUUAAAAUGCGUGCCGAGCACUCCAAUCCAAAUGAUAAGAAUUGGAAGAGACAGAGGGAGUAAUUAGUUAUGUCGAUAGACCCGUAUUCGGUCCAAUUACUUACAUACCAUAACUUUCAAUUUUCGAUUUUAAUAAUAUAGUAAACCUUAAAAAAGAUAAUGUAUUUUAGUUAAAAAGGUAAUAACUAUAUUGUUCGAUGUUAUUUUAUAAAAUUGAGUUUUUUAGUUAGAAAAUAUAAAAAAGAUAACAUAUUAUAGUUAAAAAGAAUAAUUAGUUAUAUAAAUAGGCCUUAUUUCGGCCUAAAGUUAAAAAUAAUAAUUGGUUAUAUAGAUAGGCCCGUAUUUCGGCCCAAAUUUUGACCGAUCAAACUUUCAAUGUUCGUAAUUACUGUUGCUCGAUGUUAUUUUAGAAAAUUGAGUUUUUUUAGUUAGAAACUUUAAAAAAGAUAACAUAUUCUGGUUUAAAAGAAUAAUUAGGUAUAUCGAUAGGCCUGUAUUUCGAUUUUCGGCCCAAAGUUAAUAAGAAUUAUUAGUUAUGUCGAUAGGCCCGUAUUCGGUCGAAUUACCGACAUACCAAACUUUCAAUUUUUUAUUUUAAUAGUAUAGUGAACCUUAAAAAAGAUAACGUAUUUUAGUUAAAAAGGUAAUAACUAUAUUGUUCGAUGUUAUUUUAGAAAAUUGAGUUUUUCUAGUUAAAAAAUAUAAAAAAGAUAACAUAUUAUAAUUAAAAAAAUAAUUAGUUAUAUAAAUAGGCCUUAUUUCAGCCCAAAGUUAAAAAUAAUAAUUAGUUAUAUAGAUAGUCCCGUAUUUCGGCCGAAAUAUCGACCGAUCAAACUUUCAAUGUUUCAGUUUUAAAAAUAUAGUAUAGCUUUCGGCCCAAAGUUAAAAGAAUAAUUAGUUCUACAGAUAAGCCCGUACUUCGGCCCAAGUACCGACCGACCGACCAAACUUUUAAUGUUUCGGCUUUAAUAGUACUAACUUAUAGCCCGUGCAAGGCAUGGGAGCUUUUUAGUAAUUUAUAAACUUUUUAAAUAUAUUUUAAAUUAUGUGAAAAUUUUUAAUUUACAAAUAAUAAAUUAAAAUUUUCAAUUAAAUAAAAUUUGAAAUUAUGAUUUGUUUGCAAUUCCGAACUUUUGUAAAAAUAUAUAAUUUUUAUAUGAUGUUGGUACAAUUUAAAAUUUUAUCUUAAAUUUUAGUUGAAUCUAAUACAAAAUAUUAGUUUCCAUGAUUUAUUAGUUAUGAAUAACUUAAGCUAACGUAUUCGUCUUUAAUAAUAAAAAUAUUUAAUAGCAUGAGGUAAUGCAUAUUUGCAUAUAAUUUUUCAUUUUUCUUUUUUAAUAUAUAUACUUGAAUAAAAAUAUUUAUUUUAAAAAUAUUUUUAUGUUAAAUUAUUAAUCUUUAUAUAUAAAAUAUAUUCCCUACGGGCUACGUCCCAUCAUAUUAUUUAGAGUUUUUUUUUUGGGAUGUACCAUCAAAUUCUUUACAUUUCAAAACUUACCAAAUAGGUCCCACCACUACACAACUUUUCCUACCUUUUCACACUACUUUUACUCCUUUUUCACAAUACCUUUACUCUACUAUCUUCUUUUUAUACAUUAAAAAUUAAUAGGUCCCACUACUUACCCAUUUUUCUUUUUAUUUUCCACUACUUUGUACAUAUAUCUUCACCUCCGUGCCCAAACCAAACAUAAAGAUUGGCUGGGACGGAAGGAGUAUUCAUUAAUAAUUUGAAUAACAUGCAUGCAAAUAGAAGGCAUAACAUGUCUGGAUUAGGAAAAUUUGUUAAAAAUAUGCGUUAUAUUUUUCACACUUGUUUCUAAUUUGGAUAAAAAUAUUUUUGUGAUCGUGCAAUUUGUAUGAUUCUACAAAUAAAAAUGGGAAUAUUUAUUUUAGAUUAAAAUAACAUAAACACGUGAAAGAAAUAAUUUGUUUUGGAUUCAGAAAAGAAGAUAUCAGUUGCCUAGCUGCCUUAUAAGUUCUAAUCUAACAGUGCUUAUUUGAUCAAUAUACGAUCUAACGGAUGAUAAGCUUUUGGACCAGAGGACCAUGCGACCAAAUUAUCUCCCUUACGCUUAUUAUAUAAUACUAGCUUAUAGCCCGUGCAAGGCACGGGAGCUUUUUAAUUAUUUAUAAAUUUUUUAAAUAUAUUUUAAAUGGUGUGAAAAAAUUAAUUUAUAAAUAAUAAAUUAAAAUUGUACAUAUCAUGCCAAAGUAUUAAAUUCUUUCUAUCAAAUUUUAAACCAACUCCUAUUAGAUUAUAUUUAUAAAAGUUCUAAUCUAACAGUGCUUAUUUGAUCAAUAUACGAUCUAACGGAUGAUAAGCUUUUGGACCAGAGGACCAUGCGACCAAAUUAUCUCCCUUACGCUUAUUAUAUAAUAUAGCUUAUAGCCCGUGCAAGGCACGGGUGCUUUUUAAUUAUUUAUAAACUUUUUAAAUAUAUUUUAAAUGGUGUGAAAAAAUUAAUUUAUAAAUAAUACAUUAAAAUUGUAUUCUCAAAAUGGUGUGAAAAAAUUUAAUUUAUAAAUGUUAAAUUAAAAUUGUAUGUAUCAAUGCCAAAGUAUUAAAUUCUUUCUAAAUUUUAAAUUAUUUUAAGUAGUGUGACGCCAACUCCUAUUAGAUUAUAUUUAUAAAUGUAUUUUAUAUUAGAAUUAUUAUAAUGUGAUUUAAAUAUUUUUCUAAAAAUUUUUAUGGUUCGAGAUUAAAAUUGAUAAACACAAUUUGUUUUGAAUUAAGAAGAUGAAUCAUAAACAUGCAAUAAGAUGGUAGAAUUUGCUUUGGAUUAAAAAAUUUUUUUUGUAUUUGUUCCUCACAUAAAUCGGGCUUAUUAAUUUUGAAAUAUAUUAGGUAAAAAUAAUUUUGUGACUGUGCGAUUUAUAUGAUUCUACAAAUAAAAUUGGUAGAAAAUAUUUAUUUUGGAUCAAAAAAAAUCAUAAACACGGGAAAUACUUAAUUUGUUUUGGAUUCAGAAAAGGAUUUAUAAACAUGCAAGUAGAUAUCAGUUGUGUUAUGGAACAAAAGUUAAUUUUGUUCUAAUCCAACGGUGCUUAUUUGUUCAAUAUACGAUCCGAUGGAUAAAAAUAAUCUUGUGACGGUGUGAUUUAUACGAUUCCACAAUUAAAAUUUGUAGGAAAUAUUUAUUUUGAAUUAAAAAAAAACAAAAACACAUGAAAGACAGAAUUUGUUUUGAAUUCAGAAAAAGAAUUAUAAACAUGCAAGUAGAUGUCAGUUUCCUUAUAGAACAGAAUUUAAUUUUGUUCUAAUCUAACGGUGCUUAUUUGUUCAAUAUACGAUCCAACGGCUUUUGGACCACAGGACCUUGCGACCAAAUUAUCUCCCUUACGCUUAUUAUAUAUAAGUAUAUAAUAAGUAUAUAAUAGUAUAGAUAUGCUAGUCUUAAAUAUAUUUUUUUCCUAUAUAUAUGCUAGCCUCUUGAGACGUGAUCAUCCCAAACAAAAAAAUUUAACGGAAAAAGAAAAUGAGGAAUUCCAUCCUCUGUUUUUCCACCAUCUGUUUGUUGCUCAUCUUCCUGCAGUUGCAGCACAACCUAGUGGCUUGUUCAUUAAGCCCCCACUUGCAGAAACUUGCCUUGUUCCAUUUUAACCAAACCUUAACAAUCAGUACUACUAGCUGGGAUUGCGAAUACGUUUCCUACGAAGAGAAUGCAGUGUAUGAAAUUCCUUCACGGGCAAAGACAAAGAAUUGGAGCAUGAGUUCUGAUCACUGCACAUGGGAUGGAGUUAGCUGCGACGACAAGACAGGGGACGUUAUCGGACUGGAUUUAAGUUGCAGUCAGCUGGAAGGAGCCAUUCUUCCUAACAGCGCUCUCUUCCAGCUCUCUCAUCUCCGCUUCCUCAAUCUUUCUCAAAACGACUUUUACCUCGCCAGUCAGUUCCCUCAGGAAUUUGGUUUCUUUGCAAAAGGUUUGACGCAUCUCAACCUCUCUAAUACUGGAUUAUCAGGGAGAGUUCCCUCGGGAAUCUCUCAUUUGUAUAAACUUGUCUCACUUGAUCUCAGUGACAACUCAGUCUCACUUGAUCUCAGUCAGAACUAUGAGGCUAAACUUGAAGAAGAAGUGUUUAAAUCAGUGUUGCAGAAUUUAACUCAUCUUGAAGUGCUUAAUCUUAAUGGAGUUAAGAUCUCCUCUGUUUUGCCCCUGAAUAUCUCUACUUCUUUAAGAGUUCUUCAAUUGAGGUAUACUUAUAUACACGGAGUAGUACCCCAAGAGGUUUUCCACCUUCCCAACUUGGAAUUACUUGAUUUAUCACUUAAUGACGACCUGAGAGCAACAUUACCCAAAGUUAAGUGGGGAAGUAAAGUUACUCUCCAACACCUUCAUCUUUCAUACAUCAACAUAGAUGGAGGUAUACCUGACUCAAUAGGCUUUUUGGAGUCAUUAGUCAGUUUGGAUUUGAGCAGCUGUAAUUUGUCUGGGCCUAUACCAAGAUCCAUUGGGCACCUCGUUCAACUUACUCGCUUGGACCUCUCUCAAAAUAUUCUCAAUGGCCCAGUUCCAACAUUUUUUACAGACCUUACAGACUUAAGAUAUAUCUCCCUUUGGCAAAACAAUUUCACUGGAUCCCUACCUCGUUCGUUGUUUCACCAUCCAUCCUUAGAGUCCUUGUCUCUGGAUAAUAAUGCAUUCACGGGUCAACUACAUGAAUUUGAUUCUUCUCGCUCACGGCUGCAAUCUUUUUCUUGUUCCAACAAUUCACUCUAUGGAUCCAUUCCACAUUCUUUUUCUCAGCUUGUGAAUCUCACUGUCCUAGAUUUGUCAUCAAACAAUUUCAGCGGGGUUUUGGAUUUGGAAAUGUUUUCAGGCCUCGAAUCUCUAAAACGUCUUCAUCUUUCUGAUAACAGUCUUUCAGUGAGAAGUACAAUUAUGGCCACUCUCCCUCCUAAUCUUUACUCCUUGGGCUUGUCAUCUUGCAACAUGAAAGAGUUCCCCCACUUUUCAAGAGAUGCAAACAUCUCCCUGAAUCUUAUAGACCUAUCAAACAAUAAAAUUGAAGGGGAAAUUCCACACUGGAUUGGGUCGGUGGGGGAUUUCUAUGGAAUCCCUUAUCUGAAUCUAUCUCACAACAAACUAAUAGGCGGUCUUGAGCAACUGCCUUGGGGUUAUAUUCAAUAUCUUGAUCUCCAAGACAACAAGCUGAAUGGCUCCUUGCCCACCUUGAUGUGUAAUUCCAGCUCUCUUGAGAUUCUAAAUCUCUCUCACAACAAUUUGAGUGGUGUACUCCCCAUUUGUCAUACAAAUUUGACUCAGCUUUCGGUGUUGGAUCUGCGGAGGAAUAAAAUUCAAGGAAUCAUUCCAGCAACCUUGUCAAAUUUCCGUUAUCUGGAAACUAUUAAUUUGAAUGGAAACCGCUUACAAGGAAGCAUUCCUUCUUCUUUUGCUGAAUUAGAUUCUUUAGCCGUCCUUGAUCUUGGAAAUAAUCAGAUAAAUGAUACAUUCCCCCUGUGUUUGGAAGCUCUUCCAAAACUCCAAGUUCUUGUUCUCAAAUCAAACAAGUUUCAUGGUAUAAUAAACCAGAGUUCUGAGACAAAACACCCAUUUCCUAGCUUAAGAAUCAUUGAUCUUUCGUACAAUGAGUUUUCAGGUGCACUGCCAGAAAAAUAUUUUAGAAACUUCAAGGCUAUGAUGAAUGCGGAAGUGAAUAAGAUAAAUCGUAGCUAUAUGGAGCAUCGGUAUUACAGUGAUUCCACAGCUCUGGUGAUUAAAGGCAUGGAUAUUGAUUUACAUAGAAUUUUGACUGUGUUCACAACUAUUGAUGUAUCAAAGAACAAUUUUGAUGGGGGGAUAGCUGAAUACUUUGGAAAUCUAGUAUCACUCAGAUUUCUUAAUCUUUCUCACAAUUAUCUCACAGGCCACAUACCAUGCUCGAUUGGAAAAUUGACUGUGCUGGAGUCACUAGACCUCUCAUCCAACCAACUUGAAGGAGAAAUACCUCAGCAGCUCACUAGUGUAUAUUCACUUGCAGUUCUAAAUCUGUCUUGCAACCAACUUAGAGGACGUAUUCCAGAAGGGUGGCAAUUCGAUACGUUUGAAAACAGCAGCUACGCUGGUAACUUUGGGCUGUGCGGACAUCCCUUGUCGAAAAAGUGUGAAUCUUAUGUUAGGACACAAGAAGAAGAUGACGAAGAUGAGGAUGAAUGUCACUUUUUCUGUGGUUUUACUUGGGAAGCGGUGGUGAUUGGAUAUGGGUGUGGAGUGGUGCCUGCAUUUAUCACUGGCUACCUGAUGUUGCUGGCACGGAAACCAAAAUGGUUUGCUGGAAUCAUUGGCAGGGAAUUGGGGCUCAAGAUCAGGAGGAUGGAGAUUAGAAUGCGAUACUAAAGGUUUGCUGUAAUCUGUAUCCCAUUCCCAGGUCUUGAAAAUUCUGUAAUAAUAUAUAGUAAUAUCUGCUCUCAUAUAAUUCUAUAUUUGCAGAUUCAGAUGGGACAAGCAGGAUCAGAUGCAUUGGAAUCAACCACUAGUACUUCAGCUGUUUUGUCAUUCUAAAUUUUACAUUUUACAAUAAAAGUCAAAAGAUACAAGUUAUGUAGUAUUGUUUUGUUCCAGCCUCAGGCUCUUCAUUUCUAAAACAUGUUUGCGGAUGCUUUACAAUGUACAAUUUACAAUAUAUCAAAGUUUUUAAUAUACACUACCAGAACUGGGUUACAUUGCAGUGUUGUCGCCAUUUUUCUGAAUUUCACUAGUUGGGAAGACUGUAUAAAUUAUGUUAGAGUCGCUGCUAUCAGUGAUCGCGUUCAACAACUUAUCUCAAACUGGUAAGAUUUACUAAAUUUUUAAUUUCACAAGCUGUUGAUAGAAUAGAAGAUGCCUCAGUUUAAGGAUCGAGAAUGUAUUAAUGAACUGUCCCAGCCCUGAGAAAUUCUCUUUGAUGGGGCUGCAGUUUCAAUAAAUCGCCUCUUGUACUCAGCCAUCAUACAGUGAACCACCGUCCGAUGGUCGAAAUUGGCGAAGCAUGAUGGCUUUAAAUCAGCCCAUAACCUGAUGGGGUGGCAUUUCUGUUCCCCAUUAGUACCAAUGCAGGGUGUCCCCUUCCAAAGCUACUCUGCAACAAUUUCCAACAUCUCGUAUUCACUUAACCCGUUCAGUAGACAACAAGGUUAGGAGCAAGAAUGAGUCGGUGUCUGGACAUGAGAUUAGGAAUACUAUUACCUCUGACUUCUGAGGCCCGUGACAGAUCGAAGAGGCAUGAAAGUUGGGGACAGGGGACGGCUGGUGCAUUGGAAUGAAAGUAAAAAACUUUUUCAGAGCCUGAUGCUCUCAAGGAUGCAGUCUAAUGAACAAGCGUAAUGAUGUCAUGUUAACUGUCAACCACCUAGUCAAAAUUACUUGAAAUGAUGAAAUUUAUGACAGUAAAUUUAUGAUGCUCUGAGUUUGUUGAUCAACCAAGCUAUGUUGUAGGCAGCUCUUAUCUGAUCUGCAAUCAAGUUAAUGAACCACUACCUCAGUUCAACAUUUUACAUUUUACAGCUCAGAAUAAAAGAUUACAUGUGUAUUAAUCUGAUCAUCAUUUGUUUGAUCAAUUUAGAAGUUCGGCUUUGUUUACUUCUAUCCCGGGCUCUUCAUUUCUAGAGCAUAUUUGUUGAUACUUUUUAUUGAACGGUUAAGAAUAUACCAUAGAUUUUUAUAUUCGGCGUAGAUGAUUUUAUGUCCUGAUUUCAUUCCAUUCAUGAACUAAUUAAAAAUUUGAAAGUGGGUCAUAUCUGGCAGUGAUGCCAGCCCUUCCUGACCUGCAUUUCAUGACCACAAACUCCAAUUCUGCCCAAAAAUUGCAGCUGUUUCGUAAUAUUUUUCUACGUGCUCUUUUGUUUGGACUUGUUUGCUGGACCAUGCAUAUGUUUUGAUACAUCUUUGUUGAUGUUAACACUCUUGUGUCAGUUACUGGACUCAUUGUUAGUAGCCCAUUCUUUACGGCAGACAUUGAAUUGGAUUUACUUGAAGAAAUGAAGGAUUAAGAAAGUUCAGAACAAUUUGUUGAUUAUUUCCUUCCCUAGAAACUGCACUCCAGCAUCAAAGUACCUUUCAAAGACUCCAGACAUCAUCUCUUGAUUAUCAAAGACUUGGUCUUGCAUAUACUGAUAUACCGUGAAUAUAGGUUUCUUUCAUUUCCUUGAAAUUGCAUUUUUUGAAGUAGCUUUCCAGACUCAUUCCCGUCACUUCUCAAAGUCUUAUUCCCCAUCAAUACAUACACAUAAUAUCACACCAAUUUGCUCAUGCUCAGAUGGGCUUUUCUUACAAACCACACAUGUUCACUUCUCAUAGUCUUAGUCCUCGUUAAUAUAUACAGAUAAUAUCCCACCAAUUUGCUGGUGCUACAAAUGGGCUUCUCCUACAAGUCUACAACUACACAUAAUCGGAGAAAAGUCUGUCAAAUGGAUCUUGAAAGACCCUUCUGCAUUGAUUAUCAAAGUAUAUUAUCUGUUAACAUAAAUGUAUUUUAUCAAAGUACUCUCUAAAUAAAAACUAGUAAUAGCAGUUACACAGUAAAAAUUUUUCCUCAAACAAUUACCACCUCAAAUGAGAUAGGCAACCUUAGAUUCUCCAAAAGUGCUUAUAUUGCAACCCUUGUGUAAUGACUAAUAACAGUCAUGAUUAGUAGACAGACCAUAAUUGCGAUGGUUCGAACUUUUUUACUUGAGCUGGAGAGAAGACUUUGAACUGCAGUGUUAGCUAGGAGUUUUUGCACCGUUCCUUUCCCUGUCUUGAAAUUGCAUUUCAGCUCCAAAAGUAGAUUUCAGAGACUGAUUCAUGCCAUCUUUUAAUUUUCAAUGGCAUAGUCGCGAUGACACUCUCACUUCUCACAUUGGAAAACUUUUACCAACACAAUGAAAUUUAUAAGAGUAAAAUGCAAAGCGGUGGUUAAAUUUAUAAGAGUUCUAUCGAAGUCUAGUUUACCUAAAUAACUGCAAAAUGGUUAGGGUUGUUCACGAACCGAGCCGAGCCGAGUUUUGACCGAACCGAGCCAAGCUUUAAUUUUUUUUCUGACGAGCCGAGCCGGGCCGAGCUUUUUUAUCGAACAAAAUUUGUGUUCAAGCUCGGCUCGUUAACUAACGAGCCGAACACGAGCUUGUUCGCGAACAAAUACAAGCCGAACCGAGUAGAAUCGAGUCGAGCCGAGCCAGAAAAAAAAUAAGAACAAACCGCUAGUUGACUCUUAAAAUAGCUAACCAAAUAAUUUUAUUUUUUUUUAAACUUUGUUUAUAUCACUAAAAUGUAUAUAUGUUAACAUCCAUACGGUUGGAUCGGUAAGAAAUAUUUUUUAAAAUAUUGAAACACUAAAUUAGGAUUAAACACUAGUUAGCAGUACUAUUUAACCUUCUACUUGACUGUUAAAAUAGCAAACCAUAUAAAAUUAUUAUUUUCCGAAAUUUUGGUUACAUCACUGAAAUAUAUAUAUAUUAAUUAUAUGUUGAAUUCUGAGUUCAAUAACAUAUAUAAAUUAUAAAAAAAACCCCGAAAAUAUUACAUUUUUUCGAGCUUUAACGAGCCGAGCUCGAGCCGAGCGAGCUCGAGUCGAGCUCGAGCCGAGCUCGAGCCGAACAUACUAAAAGCUCGGCUCGAGCUCGUUUACUUAACGAACAAUUUUUUGUGUUCGUCCUCGAGCUCGUUAACUUAACGAGCCGAGCCGAACGAGCUCUUAACGAGCCGAGCUCGAGCUUGUUCGCGAACAGCUCGGUUCGUUAAGCAGCCCUAAAAAUGGUGAAACAAACUAGGGCUUAGAAAAUGGUACAAUUUGCGGUUUUGUAUCUAUUGGGCAUCUAUUUUGGUGUGCUAGUCAACUUGUAUGGUUCUUAAAGUUUACAACUUGAAACAGUUAAUAUCAAAUGUCAAAGUGAAAAUAUGUGUAGUUUUAACUUCACAAUAUUUUCUUGGUGCGGGCUAUGUAAGUUAUCUUUUACAUGGUGAAUCAAGUUAUGAUACUCAGAAUCAAUUAUGUUUCACUUUCGUAUUUUCCACCUGGUCGUAAGAUUUGUAGUUUUCCUUCGCUAUUGUAAAGGUUGUGUUCUAUUAAGGGUGAUAUAUGCGCACCCUAAAUUAAUUUAUGCACACUUUACCUUCUGUUUCAUAUCAAAUUACCCUUGUCUUUUAUCAUUUCAACCAAAUAUUUUAUUAAUUCAAAGGGGUAAUUUAGUACAAACUAGAUGAAAGGUGUGCAUAAAUAAAUUUAGGGUGUGCAUAAAUCAGCACCCAAUGUAUUUAGUGAUUCCACUGAUGAUAAUGUUAAGCAAUUAACAGGUAUUAAAAUGCUUUCAUUAUAAUGCAACUUUAUACUCCCUUUAUCCCAUUUUAACUGAGGUAAAAAAAACAAUAUCUACACCCAUUAAAAAAAAUUCAAUUUUUAUAUCAAAUAAAAGUUUAGAUUCUAAAAUUUUAAUUGAUGAUAUAAAUUUUAUAAACAAUAAUUAUGUUUAUAUGUGAUUUUCUUAACAUUUCAAAAUACAUGUAAAAAGGUCAAAAGUAGUUAAAAUGGGACGGAGGGAGUAUAUUUUUAUUCAAACUCGAGUCUCCCGUGAGUGGAGCUCUUAAUAUCAUGCGAAGUUAAUAUUCUCCUAAAAUCUCAAAAUGUUAGAUAGAAUGACUUAUAAAAAAAUUGAAGAAAAGUGGAGUUUUAUUAUAAGUUUUAUCCGUGUUACAUACUUACAUUGAAUAUCUGGUAGUAACGCAAAAAAUUUGGUCUCCUCUAUGUAUUUUUGCUGGCUUGGUCGAAUCAGUUGGAUUGCUGGUAUUUGAAUAAUCUAAUUUUUUCAGAAAUAAGAAUUUAUUUCUUGAGAAAAGUACAUAAAACUACUAUACUUUUUUGGUCUCCUCUAUGUAUUGUUUUAUUUUAUAAGUCGUUUAAGGUAUUUUCACACAUAUUAAAAAACUUCAUUGUUGCAUAAAAAAGUAUUUAUUAGUCAUUUCUUUUUCAUUAUUAUCCUCAUUUAAUGUCUCUUUUCUCUCUUUUUCUAUUGACUCAUAAUAUUAAAUAAGGGUGAUAAAAGUCAUUAGAUAAUUUAAAUUAUUCUUGAAAAAAAAAAAAGAACGACCUAUAUUUAUGAAUAAUAAUAUUUUCUAAAAUGAACUAUAAAAAAACAGAUGGAGUACUGUAUAUCAAGUGGAGAAGCAAGACUAAAGUGCAGUACUCCUAAGCCCACAUUGUACGGCGGUAGUACAUUUGAUUUUAUUCGGGGAAAACCAUGUUUAUGGAUUAUCUCAUCUGAAAGACCCUAUCCAUCAUCUUCCGAUUCUCAGAGUCUUGGCCUUCCAUUCCAUGCACUGCUCUGCACGUGCUUCUGUUUGAGAUCAAAAUCACCUGCCUUAAAAAAUUUGUUUCUUUUGUAGUCUAAUCUCUGUCCCAAUCAAAUAUAUACCUUAACUGUGCACGUAUUUUGAGAUUUUAAUAAAAUUUUGUUGUAAAAUACUUUUUAAAAUUUUUUUUUUUGAAUAAAAAUUUAAACCUCAAAUUUUUAUUCAGUUAAGGAAAAUUUUAAAUAAUGUUUUGUAAUUAUACUUUAACGAAGCCUUAAAAAAUAUACCAAAAAACAGCGUAUACAAUUCAUCAGACGAGCAACCGCCAACAAGAAACACCACCGACAAUAAUAAACAAGAUUAGAAUGCAUAAUAUUCUGCAUUGGUCGAUAACUAUCAUUAUUAAUUUCUUCCUGCUGCACCACCGACAAUAAUAAACAAGAUUAGAAUGCAUAAUAUUCUGCAUUGAUCGAUAACUAUCAUUAUUAAUUUCUUCCUGCUGAGAAUUGAAACCACGCCCUCUGGCAAUUCCAAAAUGUUCCCUUUUAUAUUUAGCAAAAAAUAAUGAAUGGUGCUCCCAUUUUUUGACUAACCCAAAAACUCGAUGAUGGGCAAAAAUUGCACUAAUAUUAGAAUGAUGGUGUUUAGACAAGUUCUUCAUUUCAAAUUUUAAAUAUUGAAAUAAUUAGAAAUAUAAUAUAUAACUAUAUGACAAACACUCUAAUUCAGCAAGAAUCUUAUUUUUUGUAUCAAUUUUUCAAUAAUUUCAGGUGAAUGGUAAUUUAAUAUAUAAUCAAAUUUUAAAUAUUGUAUAGUUUUUGUUUUAUAUUUUAAUAAAUUUCAUAAUAGUGAGGAUAUGAGUACAUAUAUACAUCAACAGAAGGGUCGUUUGGGUAAACUUUAAAAAAGUGACUUCUUUCUUCAAAUAAAAAUGUGCACUAUAUUCCGUCAAAAAAAAUGUGCAGCAUUAGUAAGAGGUAAGUCUAGACUUAAAAGUGAUUAAAAUUUUUUAAGGAAAAGUAGAAGUUCUGAAAAUAAAAGUUAGAAAUUUUGGCUUCUUACAGGUGUUUCUGACUUUUUACAAAAUUAUAAGCCGACUUUCUUAGAAAAAGAAGGCGGAAGCUGGGGCAGCCAAACAAACACAUGAUAUGACUUGAUAUACAAAAAAAUUACAUUUAAAUUACGUUUAUAACACAAAUAAUCUCAAUUUAAAAAUGAUGAACAAAGAGAUAUGAGAUAUAUUGAAAAAUAAUUGAAAGCAACCCGUGUUUUGCACGGGUUAAAAAGCUAGUUCUAAUUAAAGGGAAAAAAGCCAUCGACUAAAAUUGAACACGGAUGGGAAUUAUAAGAAGCAUAAGCAAACAAACUUUUCUCUACAAUAAAAGGUGAUGGGUUGAAGUCAAGAAAACACCGAUUCAUCUUUGUACAAAGUUAAAAAUACUAACGGCUCUUUGCUUAUAGCACUACAAGAAAACUCAUUUUAAUGACAGAAAUUCUGUUAACAUGAUAAGGAUUUUCGUUGGUAAAUCACCGCCAAGGGAAUGAUAAUGAAAAUAAUUGGUUGGCAUAUAGUUGAUCGGGAAGUUCAUGCUAACGGAACAAAUUCGUUGCUAAAUUGGUUUCUUUUGAUAAAAGAUGAUGGGUUGAAGUCAAGAAAACAAACACAACACUUUUACAGAAAGUUAAAAAUACUAACCGCUCUGUGCUUAAAGAGUGGCAUAAGUAAGCAGUUCUCCGUGUGCUAGAAAUUCCUUCAUUUCUUGCUCUUCUAAGCCAACAACAGCUCUAAUACCAUCAUUCGCGGUAUCCAUCAGAGUGAUGACAUCAACCAUCGGAGUGUCCACAAGCACAGCUUUAACCGGCUUUCCCCACCCGAAAUCCAUGAUAUCAUAUAGCGGGAAAUUACACAUGCUUGUAAUAACGUAGAACCUGUACUUGUGUUUUGUGAACUCAAGAAACUCAGUCUCCAUUUCGUGUCCUUCCAUACUCUUGAUUCCUUUUAGCUGUUCCCUCUCUUUCCUCAUUCGUGCUACCAACGUUCUGUACUUUUUGUCCGCCUCUGUGGUCGCUACAAUGUGGUUUAGAAUCUGGAAAUUCCCCACAGUUGUUUCUUGCAGUGGCGGAUCAAUCAUAUGCCUCACAUUGACAGCCCGCAUUAAAACGGAUCCAUUAUGCACUCCAGCAUUAGUCCUAUCUGCCACGCUUACAAGACAUCUGUAAAGGAGUGCAGUCAGAAGCUCGUUGCGGGUGUAUUUUUGAUCUUCCACUACUCCAUCCAGCUUAUCCUCGUUAUUCACCACAAUCUUCAGUUCUGCUAGCUUUGUGUUGGGAAACACUAAUUCCUUCGUCGUCCAAUUCUUAUCUGGAAAUAUGAUGGUUUCGAUGGCAUUAAUAUCAUAGGAUAGAGGCAGCAGAGCAUUCACCAGAACGGGACAGAGAUGUAACAGUUUUCGGUGAUCACCAGAAUGGAGUGACAGAGUGGCCCAAUACCUUAAAAGUGUGCAGGUAGUCAGAGCAUCACCCAGAAGGUGAGAAAGGCAAAAAAUUGCUGACGAAAAAAUGUACAAACUAGUAAAAAAUGAAAAUCACUUCUGGUAGUAAAAAAAGUCUAAACUAGAACCUAGUUCAGCCCAAUAUUUUAGCAUUAGUUUUAACUGCAAAAAUCACUAAUUUGUACAUUAUUAAUGAUUAAUUUUUAAAUAGAAAUAUCACAAAUAAAUAAAUAAAUAAAUAUAAUUAAAAAAUUAAAAAAAUCAUCAAUUUUCACCAAAAAGUCGUAUUUUCCCAACUAGUUCUACCAUGGAACCAUAUAUAUUUGUCCAAAGUGAUUUACUGUUCAAUAUCAAGUCUAAAAAAAUACACAUAAAACACUACCUUAAAAGUGUGCAGGUAGUAAGAGCAUCCCCAAGAAGGUGAGAAAUGCUAACUGCUACAGCCAUCCCUCCACAAUCGAAACGGUUGAGUUGCACAUACAUUAUAUUACCCGAAUGCUUCUCAGAAAACUGAUUCCGAAUUGUGCAAGGUGGAAACAGAUGGCCUAAUCCGUCUUCUUCCUUGACUGCAGCUCUAUCCUGAACCUCCGACAUAUUGCAUCCGAUUUGAGCCUCGAUAAAUUGAACGCCUUCAUCGUUACAAUCGACGUACGAUCCAGAGCAUAUCCUUCCUGCAAAUGGAUAGUACUUGGACAGUGUCUCCGACAAAGACUUCUUCAGUAGAUCUGAUGCAUUAUCAGGGACCCGUUCACGAAUGGGAUCAGAGUUGUUUUUGGGAUAGAAAAAAAUCAGUGGAAUAUAAAAAUUUGGAACCAUGCGAUCAUGUAAAGGAAUAUUGUAUCGUUUGAGGUUCGAGGGAGUUGGAGAAGCUGGUUUAAUGCUGCAGGAAGAUCUUGAGAUUACAUGCAGCUGCCUUCUAAAUACUAAUGACAACCUCAUCAAUCCUUUAAACGUCAUUUUUAACUUGCCAAACCAAACUUUGAUGUGUAUAUCAGAUAUGAGCUGGUUUAAUUGGGGUAUUUAUACAGAUUUAUAAGAGAAGAUUACAGCCCAUGCCAAAAGACUUGGCGGUUGAAGCUGGUGAGAUGAUAUAACUCCUGAUUAACCGGAAAUCAGGGAUUAAUCGUAAGGAUUAAUCAGAGUGAAAAUCGGUUUUAUUUUGAAUAUUAAAAUAUUAUUUUUAAUAUUUAUUUAUUACUAUAUUAAUUAUUUAAUAAUAAAUAUAUUUAAUAUAUCAUAAAUUUUAUAAUUGUUCAUAUUUAAAGUAAAUAAGUAGUAUUCAAUUUUAAUAAUUUAUUAUAUAUAUAUACUUCGCUUGAGAAAAAUUUAUACGGAUUAAUCGAAUUUUAAAAAUCGAAUCAAUCGGCCAUCUUGCAGGAGAUUAAUUGGGAAUUCAUCGAUAAAAUCAAUAAUUUUUAAAACACUGCCGGCAACUGUAAGUAUAAAAAAUAGGAAUAAACAAAGAGCACUGGGAACCACAUGCAAGUGAUUGUUUACUGCUGGUUCUACCGGUCUCUGCCAAAAACUCUGAUAAAUACCAGACAAAACUACCAGUCUCCCUUGCAUAAAAUAUCUAAGCUACAUAGGAAUCUUUUUAUGUCUAUGCUACAAGACAUUUUUUAUGACUUGGAUCCCAUUUCAUUUGUGGCAUUGCAGCAGUUCAUUCUUUAUUUCCUGAAUUUUCUCUAUAAUCUUUACCUCAUGCCUCUUAAUUUUUAUUCAAGAUAAUUUUUUUUGCAAAUUACUGUGGUUCUGCUUUUCUUAUCUUUUCUUCUUUUGGCUUUGCUGGUACUUUUCCUUUGCCAGUUUAAUUUUACCUUCAACUUUGAGAAAUAAAUGUAUUUAGUGAUUUCACUGAUGAUAAUGUUAAGCAAUAGGGUUCAAAAUGCUUUCAUUAUAAUGCUACUUUAUUUAUUUAUAUUCAAACUCGAGUCUCCAGCAAGGGGAGCUCUUAAUACCAUGUGAAGUUAAUAUUCUCCUAAAAUCUCAAUAUGUUAGAAAGAGUAAUUUUUUAUUAAAAAAAUUGAAGAAAAGUAGAGUUUUAUUAUAAAUUUUAUACGUGUUACAUUGAAUAUUUAAAAGUAAAGCAAAAAAUUUGGUCUCCGCUAUGUAUAUUUGCUGGCUUCGUCGAAUCAGUUGGAUCGCUGGUAUUGGUGAGAGCGUGAGACAUUAAAGGGAGAUGGGCUGAUCAGAUCAGCUUGGUUGAUAAUGUCUAAAUCCAAUUCCUUAACAAGGAAUUGAUUUUACUCAUGAAAAAAGAGUGAUUAAAAAAAAAGUUUGCAGAAAGUCAAGACUCAAACCCCAUUCUUAUCAAGUCUUCCACUACUCUAUGCACAAUUCAAAAUACACAAAGACCAACCAAAAAGUUCUUGGAAGUAAUCAAAUAAAUGAUACUCUCCAAGUUCUUGUUCUCAAAUCAAACAAGUUUUAUGGUCUUAUAAACACGAGUUCCAAGAUUGUACACCCAUUUCCUAGCUUGACUGCUUGAGAAUCAUUGAUCUUUCGUACAAUGAGUUUUCAGGUGCACUGCCAGAAGAAUAUUUCAGAAACUUUAAGGCUAUGAUGAAUGCGGAAGUGAAUAAGAUAUAUCGUAGCUAUAUGGAGCAAGAUUAUUACACUGAUUCCACAGCUCUAGUGAUUAAAGGCAUGGAAAUUAAUUUAAAAAGAAUAUUGACUGUGUUCACAACUAUUGAUGUAUCAAAAAACAAUUUUGAUGGGGAGAUAGCUGAAUACUUUGGAAAUCUGGUAUCACUCAGAUUUCUUAAUCUUUCUCACAAUUAUCUCACAGGCCAUAUACCACGCUCGAUUGGAAAAUUGACUGUGCUGGAGUCACUAGGCCUCUCAUCCAACCAACUUGAAGGAGAAAUUCCUCAGCAGCUCACUAGUGUAUAUUCACUUGCAGUUCUCAAUCUGUCUUGCAACCAACUUAGAGGACGUAUUCCAGAAGGGUGGCAAUUCGAUACGUUUGAAAACAGCAGCUACGCUGGUAACUUUGGGCUGUGCGGACAUCCCUUGUCGAACAAGUGUGAAUCUUAUGUUAGGACACAAAAAGAAGACGAAGAAGAUGAGGAUGAAUGUCACUUUUUCUGUGGUUUUACUUGGGAAGCAGUGGUGAUUGGAUAUGGGUGUGGAGUGGUGCCUGCAUUUAUCACUGGGUUACUGAUGUUGCUGGCACGGAAGCCAAAAUGGUUCGAUGGAAUCAUUGGCAGGGAAUUGGGGCUCAAGAUCAGGAGGAUGGAGAUUAGAAUGCGAUACUAAAGGUUUGCUGUAAUCUGUAUCCCAUUCCCAGGUCUUGAAUAUUCUGUAAUAAUAUAGUAAUAUGUGCUCUCAUAUAAUUCUAUAUUUGCAGAUUGGAGAGGCAUGAACAUUUUGGCAUGUAAGUUGAUGGGACAAGCAGGUUUCAGAUUCAUUGGAAUCAACCACUACUUCAGCUGUUUUGCAUCUUUUGUGAUUUUAAAUUUUACAUUUUACAAUAAAAGUAAAAAAGAUACAAGCUCCAUGGACAAGUUUUGUAUUGUGUAGUUCCAGCCUCAGGCUGAUGGUUUAUAAUGUACAAUUUACAAUAUAUCACAAUUUGUAAUAUACAGUACCAGAUGAUUUUAUGGCCAAAUUAUCCUUAAUCGCUUUCAUGAACUAAUGGAAAUUUGUAAAAGCGGGUCACAUUUGCAGUGAUGCCGCUAUUUUUCCUGAAUAUUCCUAGUUCUGAAGAUUGUCUAAAUCAUGUUAGUAGCUGCCAUCAGUGAAUGCAUUCAACGGCUUACUGAAACUGGUAGAGAUACUAAAUUCACAAGUUAUUGAUAGAAUAGAAGAUGACAGAGUGUCCAUGCGUCAGUUUAAGGAUCGAGAUGUGUAGCCGUGACUUGUAUUUUAAAAUUGCACAAGAUGCUUUACAAUGGUAGCAGAGGGCUGCGGAUUUAUUGGGUUAGUUGGAAGCACUCAAGUCGAAUUGGUUGUAGCAGAGCAAGAAGCUGAGCACGACCAUAAGAAUUUGAACUCUGAGGCUAAUUUGACUCUACUUGUAAGCCUUCCACUAGACAGCAAGGUUAGGAGAAAGAUUGAGUCGAUGUAAGCCUUCCUCUGACGCCUGUGACAGAUCAAUGAGGCAUGAAAGUUGGGAACAGGGGACGAUUGGCGUAUUGGAAUGGAAGUGGAAAACUUCUUCAGAGCCUGAUGCUCUCGGAGAUACAAUCUAAUGAAAAAGCGUAAUGAUGAUCAUGACUCCGCCCUUGCUCUAAAUCAGUAAGAUCAACCUCUCUACACAAUUCACUAAUACCACCUCUUUAUAACAUUCUCACUCCUAGGUGAUGAAUAAAGUAUCAAGAAACAUAUUUUGUAUAAUGAAUUAUAUUUUUUAUUAUAUUCCUUUUUUUAAAAUAUAUUGCGUAUUACACUGUUUAUUAAUUCUAUUUGAAGCAAUUAAUUAAUUUUUAGCCGUAAUUUAACUUUCAAGGUAGCAUUAUCAGCAUGAGGAAUAGGCAGAGCUUCCAGAUGCUCUCUUCUGAUAGAUAUCAUUCAGCACUUGCUCUGAGUUUGUUGAUCAACCACGCGAUGUUGUAGGCAGCUCCUAUCUUAUCUGCAAUCAAGUUAAUGAACCACUACCUCAGUUGUUAAGCAUCUUUCAACAUUUCACAUUUUUGAGCAUUUAAUUAAUUAGUCAUCAGUCUUGUAUUUAGCUUGAUCGAACAUAAUUGUUCUCUUCAAUUUCUUUGCCUACUUGUCGACGUGUUUAUGUAGCGUGUCUCUACUCUGUAGCUUACACAUCAUUGAUUCAUGUUAUUUUCCCCUUAGGAACUUGAGAGACAUUUGGCAUCAAAAGAAGCUUCUCUCCCGCAAGAACCAUUUUCCCCUUAUGAACAUUUGACAUUUUGGUGUUGCUGAGAGCGCAGCGACUUUUGAUGAACUCGGCCUGUCUGGCAGACAGGAGGCCUUGUUUCUGGAGUUAAUAUAGCGGAUCUCGAAGAGUUUACCCAGAUGGACCAACUUUGUUUGUUAGUUGGAUGUAAAAGUUGUUUAGAGACGGGUAUUUUGUCGAAGUUUGUAUCUAUUGGGUAUUUCGUCUUUUAGUCAGACUAUGGCUCAUACAGUUUCAUACAGUUUGAAGUUGAUAUCAAAUCUUAGAUUAAAUUACUGAACAUUGUUUCUUGAAUUCGAUAUCGAAUUUUAAACGAAAAUAUGUUCAGUUCUAAUUUAAAAGUUAUGCAAAUUACAUUAAUAAUAUGUGGCCCUGUUUGUUUACCAAAAGCAGAAGCUGCUUCUGGCUUCUGCUUUUCUUGACCCGUUUGUGUAAAGAAGCAGAAGCACUUUUAAUAAACUGAGAAUCCUAACUUCUCUCUCACAGCUUCGGCUUCUUUUCCAAACACUUUAUUCACUUAUUUACUUCUCACUUCUGCUCCACUUCUCUAGUUUAAGCAAGAAGUCACUUCUUUUAAGCUUGCCCAAACGGCCCCAUAAUCUAUUUUGAGUCUCUUGGUCUUCGGUCUUCUAUUGCAGCAUAUCAUGCACAUCUCAAAUGAUUGAAAAUGAACUCUCUCCAAAAGACAAGGGGGUCUGUUGAAGUAGACCUGGAAUUGAUUUUACUUGAAGAAACAAUAAUAGGUCACCUUUUAAAGUUUUGGUCUUUGUCUUUUAUCUCUUAAAGUCUUUGUCGUUUACAUCUCAUACAAUUUGCUAUCGUAUUUAACACUUCACACAAUUCCAUGCUAUCGUAUUGAACACUUCACACAAUUCCAUAAUAUUGAAGAUUUUUGGCUUGAAAUAUUCUAGAGAAUAAGGUUGUACAUAAAAUUCAAUAAUUUAUUUCCUUUCCUUCAAUAUUACAACUCAUAUAUUUGUUGCCAAUGACUCAUUCAAUUCGCAUCAAUUAUUAUCAUCUUCACUUUAUCAAAGAGUCUUGCUCUUCGUCCUUUACAUGCUUUUAUUACGAUCCCCAUGUGCUUUGAAAAUACUUGUGUUAUAGUCCACAUCAAUCAAUACUCCUUAUUAAUAAGCGAAACCACAUUUCAGUGGAACAUCGGUACUAAAAGUACCAAAUUUGAUCAUCUUAUAUCAUAUUUAAUUAUUAUUAUUAUUAUACUCCUAUUAAAAGUAUUAUAUUAUCCUUAGGAGAUUUAUAUUGGUCAGGAAUUUAUAAUAUUUUAAGAUAUUAUAAUUAAAGACGACUUCUAUAAUUAUUAGGAUUUUAUAAUUAAUAUAAACUUCUUACUUAAUAAUGAUAAUCAUUAAACUAUUUUGAAAAAAUGUCGUAUUGGUUAGAAUUUUAUAAUUUUAUUAUAUUAUAAUGAAAAGACUUUCAUAUUUAUUAUGAUUUUAUAAGUAAAUACUUUAAUAUUGGUUAGGAUUUUAUAAUUAUCUUGAUAUUGAUUAGAAUUUUAUAAUUAAAGACUUCAAUGUUAUACUAUUAAAAAAAGAUUUCUAACGUUGUUAGGAUUUUGGAAUGCAACAGUUAUACCACCAAUAAAAUUAUUUAUUUUAAAUUCUUUAAACUCAAAUAAUUUAAUUUAUGAAACAACUCUGUAAAACUCCUAUCAUAUUUCAGCAUUCAAAUAAAUAAAGAUUUAUAUUGAUAUUACUUUUUAUUAAUAUGCCAUAUUUUUCUUUAGUGGAAGAACAUGAGUACCAAAUACCGAAUUAUCAAAAUUUGGUUAAUAUCAUGUAAUUUUAACAUUGUCGUACUCUUCACAAUAUAAUAAUAUUAUUAUAAUAACGGAAAGGGGGUGGUAGCACUAUCAUGAUAAAUGCAAAUUCCAAUGAGAAUAAAAUUACUGUGAAAAUUUUAUAAAUAAAUUAAUUUUAAAUUUAUUUAAUUUAUAAUCUCUAUUAUAGUUUUAUAUUAAUUUGAAAAAUAUCUAUUAAUAUUGAAUAUACAAGAACUUCAAUUAGUGUUACACUUAAUAAUAUUUAUUAGACGUCUAAAAUAACUAUGAACUAAAAAAAUUAAGUUUUAUUAAAAAUGGUUGAAUUUUUUUUCCAUCUAUUUAGAAUAAAAACAACAUAAUAAUUUUAUUAAAAUGAAACUUACCAUUUUAAAAUAAAUUCAUAUAAUAACAUAUAUCCUGAGAAUGUUUAUUUUGAAAAAUAAAACUUAAACAUAAUUAAAUAUUAAUAUGUUAAUGCAUAAUAAGUUUUGUAUCUCAACAAUAAUAAUUUAAAUAACUAUAUCAAAAAUAUUAUAAUUCCAAUAAAUAAUAAACUUAAAAAAUUUAUAUAAUCCCGUGCUUGGCACNCAAAAAUAUUAUAAUUCCAAUAAAUAAUAAACUUAAAAAAUUUAUAUAAUCCCGUGCUUGGCACGGGUUAUAGACUAGUAUUGAUAAAUAGACAAAUUACAAUAUUUAGUUCAUUAAUGAAGAGAUAAGACAUUCAUGUGUAUGUAUUUGAAAAAUAAAAUAUUAUGAAGCUAAAUGAAUAAACACUUCUGAAAAGUAAAACCCGUUUCUGGUCCAUUUUGUAGCUUGAAGAAAUGAAGCAGAAGUCAAGAUUUCCUUGAAGAAACAAAAUUUUAUAAAAGUUAAAAACAAUUCGAUAAUUAUUGUCUUUUUAAAAAACGGAGCACGCAACACUCUUUUAUAUCAUAUUUCAAUUCUUAGAGUCUUCCUUCUACUACUCCAAAAGUGGUUCUAUUAUAGGCCACAUAUUAAUAGAUCGAUACAAAUUUAUUAAAAAGAUCCUUAUUUUCAACAAUCAAUAUCAGUUUGACUACAAAUUUAUCUGAAAUGACCCUUGUUAAUGGACUCUAGCUUAUAGGGUCAAACUUGGCUAUACAUGCCUCGGAGAAAAUUCACCAGUUCGUAGAAGAGACCUUUCUGCUAUCAACUCUAUGAAAAAUGCAGCACUUAUCAUCUAAAUAAAAAUCAGUAAGACUAUCUUAGAUUCUCUGAAGUGUUUAUAUUGCAGCCGCUUGUAUUGAAUACACACAUAAAUAACCACACAUAAUCAGCAAGGUUCGAAUUUUUUUGGUUUAACCAUAUCACCAACAUGAAGAAAAGACUUUCAAGCGUCAUAAUAGCUAAGAGCUUUUAUUUUCAGGAUAACCCCGGUCUAGAUUAUUAUAAAAAACUUGUUUAUAUGGAGACAUAAUAAAGGUCCCAGAAUUUUUUACUCUUCAAGAUUUCCGUUUCUAGCCAAAUUUUUUGACCAUAAAUAAUAUAUUGGUUUUACCUGAAAACAAAAUUUAAAGAAAAUUCAAAUUUUUUUAUUACUUCUUUUCUUUUAUUAUUACUUCUUUUCUUUUAUUUUGAAAUUGCAAAACAGCUCAAAGUAGUUCUAAAAGAAUCAUUCUCCCCGCUAGAAUCAGUUACAAUUAAGGUUGACAAGAUGUUUUAGCUGCGAGUUCUUCAAAUUAUUGCUCGUAAGGUCCACGACAGCUUAGAUAGUCACCAAAACUUUGGCCUGUGGAUUAAGUUGAUGAAAUCUAGUGUAUUAGAAUCAAUGACAGCACUAUUUUAUGGGAUUGAUGCUCACUCUUCAUAUUAUGUGUUUUUCUAAUGUGUGUGUCCAAAUACACACAAUAAACACUAAAUUUGAUAAAAAAUCGUAAUAUUAGUCAUUCCGCUCAUAAAUUUCAAGUGGAGAAGAAAGAGUUUCUCAAAAAAAAGUGGAGAAGAAAGAGCAUCGUGAUUGUCAUUGUACCCUUAAAAUUUGUUCGAUUAGGUUUUUUACAUAGUUUGCGCGUGGUCAUCUGGGUAUGCCUUCAUUAUAUUAAGCCAAUCUAGUAAUUCCAUAUUAAACAAGUUUAAAAUUUUCAAAUUUUGAUCUUAAUAAAAUUGAAAAAAUAGUGAACUUUUUCUUAUUUAUGAUAUUAACAAAUCUCUUACUUUUUUAUUACUGUAUUCAACUAAAUAUUUUUUACAAACCCUCAUAAAUGCAUCACAUCAGUUAUGAAAUUUAAAACAAAUAUAUCCAAUUUCUUCGAGAAAGAUGGUUGUAUAAUUUUUAAUUAAAAAAUUUAAUUAUUUUUAUUUUUAACAUAAUUUACAACUAAAAAAAUAUUAUAUGUUCACUGCUUUGUAAUAUAAUUAAAUAUAUCUUAAAUACAGUUUUUCCUAUAUAUAUGCUAACCUCGAGAGACGUUGAAGAUCAUCCCAAACAAAAUUUGAAAGGGAAAAUGAAAAUGAGGAAUUGCAACCUCUGUUUUUUCACCAUCAGUAUGAUGCUCAUCUUCUUGCAGUUGCAGCACCACCUGGUGGCUUGUUCAUUAAGCCCCCACUUGCAGAAACUUGCCUUGUUCCACUUUAACCAAACCUUCACAAUCACUCCUGGGGAUUGCGAGUAUUAUUCCUACAAAGACGAAGAAUUUUACGAAAUUCCUUCACGGGCAAAGACAAAGAACUGGAGCAUGAGUUCUGAUCACUGCACAUGGGAUGGAGUUAGCUGCGACGACAAGACGGGGG